UUGCAAGUGAAAUUGUCUUGUGGUUGAAAUUGGCAACUGCCUUUCCAUUUGGAAGGAGGUGGACCAAGUCCUUUGUCAUCAAAGCUUAGAGAUUCAGGCCAAAUUCCAGUGUCUAAAACACCAAUGAUAACAUCACUUUCCAUGGUUGCUCUUUCAACUUGUUGAGGGAAUCCCAUAAAAUCCCAUGACCUUGUUGUAUGUAGUUUUCUCUUUUCAUUUGGAAACACUGAUACUACACCCUUCAUUCCUGAACAUAUCCAAACAACCAAAAUUCAAAUUAAGCUCGAAGAUCUGCGUCUUAAUCCACAGAGUAUUUCCGCUUUGACUUUUAAAGUAGACCUAUUAUUAUAACUCGAACUUGAAAUUUUGAUUUGUUUAACUCGAAUAUGAACUUGAUCUAACUUGAUUUGAUAUAAAAAGUAACAAUAUGAAACCAGAGGGGCAUGGUAAGGUCUUGACCCUCACCUUGGUUGAAUGAGAACUCUUUAAUCCUUCCCAAAAAAUUGUAUAUUUUUAGCAUUUUCAAAAGAUUAAUAAUAUAAUUUAAGCUUUUGAAUAUAAAAAUUUUAACCUUGAUCCCUUCAAAGUUUUAUAAUUUUAUUUUGGAUCUCUAAAAACUUCAUUGCUUCACCCUUGAAACUGGUUCAACUUGAACUAAAAAAUGAACCAAACUUAAGUGCCAAAUCCGAAUGAAAAAAACUCAAAAAGCUCAAUUGAAAAAUCUGAAUGAUUCAAUUUUGAAAUUGACCUGAACUCAAAAAUAAUUCAAACUCGAAGUAAUAUAAAAAUUUUAAAACUUGAAUUGACUCAAUCUAGAAUAAUCAAAUUUGGAAUCAAUUGAACAUGUCUGGUUACAAGUCUAGUUGAAAAUAUAGCGCUCUCUUUUUUACUUGAAAUUCUUAUAAUUUUGUCUAAAGUUUACCAAUCUAACCCUUGAUUAAAUCAUUCAAAUCAUCUGUUAAGUCAAAUUGGUUCGCUCAAUAUAAAUGUUGACCUAAUAAUAAUUAAAUAAUUAAUUCAAAAUUCAUAAAUAUUAUAAAAUAUUGUAAAAUCGAUUCAAGCGCUAAUUUUUUAUUUUGAUUUCUAGUUUUUUUAAUUGAACCCAAGUGAUUCACUCAAAAAUUAAUUCAACUCUUGUUUUCAUAUCGAUAUAUUGAUCGGUCUUGUUCAACCAAUCCGACCUAUCAAUCUGAUUUGAUACAAAUAACACUGCUUUUAUCAAAAAAAAUGGAUAAAUACAAACUUAAACGUUAAUUUGUAUAUAUAUUAUAAUGGAUUUGAAGAAAUUUUAAAUGUGAGGUUGGAGUGUUACACUUACCGGCCAUUUUUUGUGCUUCUUCCUCAGUCAAAUCCACCACGAACCCAUUAAAACUCUUUUUGUAGCUGUACAGCACUGUCUUCGACUCACUGCAUUCAUUCCAAUUGCAUGCUCAAUCUCAAUAACCAGUAGUAGGUCUUAUUUUGUUUUGGGAUAAAUAUAAUUAAAUAUUACAAUUAAUAAUUAAUUAAACACUUGUAAAAUAGAAUUUAAAAUUCCAUAUUUACUAUCUAAAAAAAUGUACUCGUCCGGCUCUUUAUUCACUUAAAAAAAACUGCUCCAUUCGGAACAAUUUAAUUUAAAAUCCGUUGUAUGAUUUGAAUUUUGUCAUCUCUACUUUGCUUUCAAGAUUCUUUUUUAAAGAAAUUAAAACGUUAGAAUAUAAGAACAUAUAUUUUCUUAUCUAUAUUUGAAUAUAAGGAUAAAGUCAGAAAAUUAUUUUAGAGAAGUUAGAGAUAAAUCAUAAAUUAUUGAUUAACGGUAUAAUUUUAUCAUUAUAUUAAUAUAUAAUUUUAUAAAAAUUUAAGAAAUUAAAUAAUAAAUCUAUUAUUAGGAGGGGCUAAGGCUAUUGACUGCCCUUUUACCUUGGUCCCUGUUUAUAUAUAUAUAUAUAAAAUAUAAAUAUCAGAUACGGAUAUUUAAAGAAAAAAUCAGAGGCAACAUAUGUUUACACACCUGCCAAAAACAUCUUGUACCAUGCUGCUAUGAAGCAAAGCUGUGGAAGCUCCAUCUUUAAGUCGGUCACCCAUAUACACAAUAUAGCUCUGAAUAUUCACCGAUUACAAUUUUUAUUUUUCUUAAAAUGAAGUUCAUCACCAAUGGAAAUUUUAGAAAAAAAAAAAAGACAAGAAAUUAAAUCCAGUAUUAACCUUUCGAUUGGCAUUGGCGUUGGAUUGAAAAAGAUGAGAGGCUGCUUUGGUAGUAAGAAGAGCUAAAAGAAAGCAAUGAAGUAGAUAUUUUCCUCCCUCCAUUGAAACAAUGCUCACACAAAAAUAAAUAACAAACUUUUCCAAGUAGUAUAUUUAUGGAGAAAAAUAGAUGCUAAAGUCUUAGUCUUUGUGGAAAUAAAUUAUAUUAGAAAUUUAAACUUUUCAUACUUUUCUUUUGUUUUAAUUUAUAUUUGGGAUAAUAUUUAAAAUUGUAUAUGAAUUUGUUGGAUAAUUACUACAAAAUUUUCUUUACCGUAAUUUUAGUAAAAUGUCAAAAUUUUAGAGAAAAGAGAUAUGAGAAAAUCAAGAAGAAUGAAUGAAGCUCUCUUGUUGCUUAUAAAAAAUAAUGACCUCCAAUUUAUAGGAUUCGGGUAAAGUAGUUCAGGAAAUUCAAAGGCCAUAUUGCAAUGAUUAGAUUCUAACGGUCAUAUUAUUGCAUUACCUUCGUUAUAAAUUAUAUUUGGGAUAAUAUUUAAAAUUGGACAUGAAUUUUGGUCAAAUAUGUAAUGUUAUAAUUAUUUCUUUAAAUAUAAUUAUAUUUAAAAAGAAAUUGGAUAAACCAUUUAUUUUAUUUAUGUUUGGAUUAAAUUUUUAAUUUUUAAAAAUAAUCGUGUAUUAUGUCUAUUUCCUACCAUGGUAGCUUAUUAAAUAAGUGUUCCUAAAUUUUUAUAUUUUUGUGGAUAUGAAAAUAUGACCUACACAUUUUGAUUUUUCUUUAGUAUCAAUAAAUUUGGGGUCACCAAUUGCUACAACUAGUGAACUACUUUUCAAUAUUAUUAUUAUUUCAUUAAAGAUGGAGAAAAGUAUUUUGAGAUUGAGAAAUUAUUAGGUAAAUUGUUCCUAUUAAAUAAAUUAUUAUUUUAUUUGAUAAUUUAUUGUAUAAUAAUGUUUUAAAUUUUUUUUUCUUAAGUAUUACUUAAGGGUGAAUUCAGUUUGAUUCGAUAAUAUUUUUUAAAAAUUAUUUAUGAUAAUUUUGAGUUUUAAGUUUUCGGAUUUUAUUUUAACAAAAAGAAUAUAUACAUAUAUUGAGAAAUAAGUUUGAUAUAGAAUUUUAGGUAUUUCUAAAGGGAUUUGAAUAAGUAACAAACUUAACCACGAAGUUAGAAUAGGAGAAAAUAGGUCAAAUUCUGUUAUUAGACACUAUAUUUUGAAUAAGUUGUGGAUUUAGUACCAUAUAUUAAUUUAGUCAUUUUCAAUCUCUAUACUUUUAAAGUUUUAAUCUUGACCAAAUGAAAACUAUCACAUUAAUUCAGUUCUGUUAUUUUUAAAAUUUGACACGUCAAACAUAUUAUCGCAUAUGUAAUGUCAUGUCAACUUGCCAUCUCCAUAUAUUACUCGCAGAAAACCAAUUAAUAGAUUUAACAGUUGUCGUUUACAUUAAGAUUAAAAUUUCGGAAUUCAGAAAAUAUAAGACUAAGAACGAUCCAAUUCGAGAACAUGAUCUACAUCUCUAACUUUACACAUAAUGCAAGACUAAUAAUAGAAUUUAACCAAAUAGAUUUAAUUGCUAUUAUUUGGUCAGGAUUAAUUUUUUUAAAAUUUGAAAAAUAAAUAGACUAAAAUUGAUCAAAUACAAAUACAUGUAUUAAAUAUACAAUUGAUGUAAAAUACAUGUUCCAAUGGCAGAAUUUGACCGGAGAAAAUAUGAUAAAUCAGUUUGAUUUUAGCUUGUAUGUGGUAGAAUGACAUUAUUUGGUUUUAUUUGGUGGCGUGUAUGGGAAGCAACCAAAAAAAGGGUAAACCUCAUUCAUUGACCGCUGAUUCAAUUAUUAAUAUAUUUUUACUUAGUCGCUGAAAUUACGUAUUUUGAGAAUUAAAUCGAUAGAAUUUAUAUAUGUAGAGAUUGAAUUGAUUGAUUUAAUUUAAAAUUAGAAUUAAAUUAAUAAAAUAUAUAAAUUUAAAAGCUAAAUAUAUUAUUAUACCAAUUAGAUAAAAGUCAUAUUUUCUAUUAACAAUUUAAUAAUAAUGUUAGUGAUAAAUUUGUAAAUUUUUAUAUUUUGGGUGUCUACUUGCUAUAUAAAAAUUUUUAGUUUUCAUAAUCAUUUUUCCAAAAAUUAUUUUUCAAAUAAAAAAAUGAUUUUUAUAUAACAUUUUAGCUAAAAUUCUAAAGUGUGGAAAUAAAUAAGAAGCUUGACUACGAACUAAUUUGUCUCCUAACAUGUCCUGAGAGAGACAUAGUGUUAGAAUAGGAGAAAAUAUUACAAAUCAGUUUGAUUUUAGUUUAAAGAGGUGAAAUGACCUCUUGGCAUUAUUUGUCGGUUUGUAUGGGGACGCAAGAAAAAUAUUACAAAAAGGCAUAAUGUCAAUUUUAGAUUUUCUCUUUUUAACUUUUAUUAAUUUAGUCCUUUUUUAAUUAAAUUUGAACAUUUAUUUUUCCAAAAAGAAUUAAAUUGUUUUUCUUAAAUAAAAAUACUGAUUAUAAUAUUAUUUCUAACAAUUUUAGCGUGUGAACUCGCUUAAUAGUCUAUUUGUGCUUUAGUCGACAUGAUAUCAUGCCAACAAAUAAUUUAAAAUUUAUAAAAAUAUUUAAAACUAAAAAUAUAAAAAGACGGUUAUUCUUUCAUUUUCGCACUUUUUAUUUUUUAUGAAGAAAUUAAACCCUUAAUUUUCUUUUCUUUUUUUCCCAAUUAAAAUGUUAAAUCACCGUUAAAAAUAAUUUAUAAAUAAUUAAAAAUAAAAAAUAUAUAUUUUAAAAGAACUAUAAAAUUUUCAAAUAUAUAUUAAAAGAAACCCAUCGUGGGUUCUUGGCAGUUGGCAUCGUAGGUGUGGAAUCUUUCCUCACAAGGUCUUGGAUUUGGAAAGAAGCCGAUAAGCAGUUCAAAUAAGGGCUAAGGCCACUCCAAAGUCCAAACGAAUAGACAUCCCGUUUUUGGGUGGGUGGGUCCGCCCUCGGUGACUCCUCCCUUUCAAACCCCCCCCCCCCCCCCCGCCCGGGCCAAAAAAAAAACAACUUUUUGGCUUUCUCAAGUAACCCACAUUUCUUCACCACUUCCCUAACAUGUUUUUAAUGAUUAUUUAACAUUUUUCAUCCAAAUCAAGCAAUUUUACAAACAAAAAAAACUUUAAAAUUAAAAGAUGAACUUUUUUUUAAACAAGAGUCAAAAUGAAAAACAGAAAAACAUUAAGGGUUAAAGUUGACAUUAAAACGCCUUUUGAGUACUAAUUCUUAAUUAAUAAGCAAUAAAUAAAAUUAAAAUCUACAUUUUCAAAGGUUAAUAUGUUAUUGGUAGACUAUAUCAUUAGUCACUAAAUUAUAGAUAAGUUUUCGUUUUGGUUACUGAACUAUUCAAAAGUUUUCAUUUAAGUCGUUGGACUCUUAAAAUCGGUGCUAUAUGGUUUUCUCUAUUUGCACUGCCUACACCAAUCAAAAGUUCUCUUUCAAUUCUCUUUUGCAGUUUGUUUUUUUCAUAAAACAAUUUUAGACAUCAUGAAUCUGCGAACCAAUUUUCAAAUAGCUUUUUUUCUGAUCUUUGAUACUGACCGUCAGAUCAACUUGGACUUGAAGUAUAUUAUUCUACUCAUAGAUGGGUACUAAUCCAUCAUAUUGAUCAUCAUUUGGAGCUUGUUGGUGGAACUUAAAAAAAAAAAAACCCUAAUAGCUUAGUAACUUGAAUAAAAAAUUUUGAACAGUUCAAUUGUUGACACCAUUUUUUAAAUAAAGCGGAGUCGACUUGGAUUUUAAAAACGAAAAUAGAAACAGGAGUCGCCACCAAUCCUUUUUGAUAAGAUGUGAUCGGAUCACCUUGAAAAGUGGUUGUUUUUAAUAAACGAUUUAAUUUUAUUAAAACAACAAUUUUGGUCCACGAAAUUCAAAAAACGGGUUCGGGAGUCGGUUACGUACGAGGAAGGAUUAGCACCCUCGUAACGCCCAAAAAUUGGUACCUAGUUGAUUAGUUAAUGUCUUAAUGUCAAAAAUUGAAAACUUCGAAGAAUUUUAAAAAUUCGAUCCUAAAAGCUUUUGAACAAUAUGGGUUGGAAUUUAAGAUUCUCUUGUUCCGAAAGUAUAUCACAUCUAGCACAUUAGGAUAUGAUAUUUUAAACUCUCGAAACCAAGAUCACCUUAUGGUUUCCAAAACCCAUACUUUGAAACUUUAAGAGGGUAUUUGGCUAUUUGGCUAAACGACAAAUCGAAACUCAGCACAUUAGGGCACGUUUUCUCGAAUUUCCAAACGCAAAAUAUUGCCUUACUUGGAAAUUUUAAAAGGAUAUUUGGCUAUUUGGUCGAACAAAGAAAUCGAAACCCAGCACAUUAGGGCACGUUUUCUCGAAUUUCCAAACGCAAAAUAUUGCCUUUAUUAUUUUUUAGAAAAUUCCUCAUUGUACAGCCCAAUAUUUGCCCAGCCCAAAACCCAAUAAACCCAGACCUGGAUCCCAAAUUGACCCAACAAAUAUAAGCCCAAAAACUAGCCCAAAGAGCCUAAAUCUAACCCUAACAACAAAACAAAAUUUUCAAACCCUAGGUGCGGCCGCACGUCCCAUCGCCGUGCCUACUCUCUGCUCCACCGCCCGCCCACUUGCCUUGCCUCGUCAAGGUACCUGCAAACAAUAAAAGAAUAGCAGUACCAACAGCAGAAGAGGGAGAGAAACAAACAAAAAAAGAGAGUGGAAAAAUGGCUAUAAAAGGCCAUUCAAAACAAAUUGUAAGGGGUUCGGCCUCUAUUUGAUAAAGAACAGAAAUAAAAAAAGGUUCAACAUUUUGUUCAGUUUUCUUUUUUCUUUUGCUUACUUUUUUUAUUUUUUUUAAAGUUUAUUUUUUUUCUUUUUUAACCCGAAAACAUAAAGAGGAAAACACCUUACCUGUGCCGCGUCGGAGGAGGAGGAGACGAGCGGUUUCUCCUCGUUUUCGGGCCUUGGGCUCAUCUUUCUCGAAGUUCCGCCUUGGAUCCGUGUCCUAAAGGCAUUUAGCUUCAAAAAGGAACCGAAAAGGUCCAGUUUUGCACUUCUGGCCGCCGCCCACGACGUUGCUAUGGCGGAGGUGCGCCGGAGCCUUCGUCGAACCAUGGCCGGAGGAGGGACCGAGAGAGUGAGAGAGAGAGAAAGAGAGCUUUUCUCUCUGUUUUUUAGAAAAAAAUGAGGAAACUGAUUUUUUUUAGUUUUUUUUAUAUAUUUAUACUAAUUAAAAAACGGCAUCGUUUAGCUAUAAGGGUCAGGCGCCAAAACGACGCCGUUUUGGCCCUGACCCGCGCGGUGACCCUACCCUGGGGGGAGGAUCCGUGUGUUUUCGCUAGAGGGGAUAUUUGCGCCAUAGGCCCCUCCUUUGUGGCGUGUUCGAUGCGAUCCUUUUUUUUAUUUUUGAUUUUGGCCACAUAGUUUUUCUUUUGUUUUAAUUUGGUCCCGACCAUGCACACGCGCCUCACUGGAACGACGCCGUUUGAUCGGUGAGGGAAUAUUUCCCUUUUCGGUCCCUUCCCUUUCACGCGUGUUGUGAUUAGGUCCUUUUAGUGUUUUUCUCUUUUAAUUUGACCCUAAACUUUAUUUAUUUUUAAUUUAAUCCCUAAUCUGUUUUUGUAGUUAUUUUUCUACUAAAUUAAUUGUUUAAAUAUUAUUAAUGCUAUCAUUAUUAAUUUUGUAUUAGCAUUUAUUAUUAUUAUUAUUGCUAACAUUGUUAUAUUCCUAUUUAUACUCAUUUAUGUAAAUUUCAAAUAUAUUUAUCUUAGUAUAUUAUUAUAAUUAUUAUUAUUAUUAUUAUUAUUAUUAUUUUAAUUACUUAUAUAUAUACGCAUAUAUAUAUUUAAACUCUAGAUUAUUUCGUUAUUCUAUUAGUAAUAUUAUUAUUAUCCUUAUUUCAUUUAUGUUUUCUUUCAUUUUUAUUUUUAUUAUUUAUUUAUUUAUUUUUUCUUUCUUUUCUAAAAGAUUGUUAUAUAUAUUACAUACACGCACAUAUUUUUGUAACAUAUAUAUGUAUACCUUUAAAGGUUAUUAAAUUUAUCUUUAUAUUUUGUUUUUUUAUAUAUUACAUACGCAAUUAUAUAUAUCUAUAUGUAUAUUUUUUAAUCUUCAUAAGUACGUGUAUAAAUAUGUAUAUGCUUAUACGUUUAUAGUAUGUAAUUUGUAUACAUACCCAUGUACAUACCUUUUAAUUUUCAUAAAUAUAUGCAUGCAUGCUUAUUUACAUUACUUAUUAUGUCUUAUAAUAUAUAUACAUACACAUGUACAUCCAUACAUUUCUUGCAUUUUUAUAAAUUUAUUUGCUUGAUUCAUUUAUUCAUUCAUUUAUUUACUUAUUUAUUUAUCCAAUAUGUUCAUUUUUACUCAGAUUCUUGAAAAGGAAAAUUUUAAAAAUAAAAGUAAUACUCGAUAUUUUGGAUCUUUGAGAGAAUCGAGCCCUAAUGUGUUGGGUUCCGAUUUUCUUCGUUGAAUCUAAAUAAUCGAGAUUACUCUUUUAAAAAUAAUAAAAAGUUCAUUAUCGGGAAUUCGAUACGUUGUGUCCUAACGCAUUGGAUAUGACAUGUAGUUUUCUCGAGACGAGAAUUUUUCUAAAAAAUAAUAAAGGCAAUAUUUAGCUUUUUGGAAAUUCGAGAAAAUGUGCCCUAAUGUGCUGGGUUUCGAUUAUUUUCUCGUUCAACCAAAUAGCUAAAUAUCCUUUUAAAAAUUUCAAAAUAAGACAAUGUUUUGCGUUUGGAAAUUCGAGAAAACGUGUCCUAAUGUGCUGGGUUUCGAUUUUUCUCGUUCAACCAAAUAGCCAAAUAUCCUUCCAAAAAUUUCAAAUAAGGCAAUGUUUUGCGUUUGGAAAUUCAAGGAACGUGCCCUAAUGUGCUGGGUUUCGAUUUCUCAUUUAACCAAAUAGCCAAAUAUCUUCUUGAAUUGCAAUCCAUGUCAUCCGAGUUUUUUUUAAGGAUCGUAUUUUAAAUCUCUCUAAAGUUUUCAGUUUUUCGACACUAAGACAUUAAGUAAUCAACUAGGUACCAAUUUUGGGCGUAUCGAGGGUGCUAAUCCUUCCUCAUGCGUAACCGACUCCCGAACCCGUUUUUUUGAAUUUCGUGGACCAAAAUCGUUGUUUUAAUAAAAUUAAAUCGUUUAUUAAAAACAACCACUUUUCAAGGUGAUCCGAUCACACCUUAUCAAAAAAAGGAUUGGUGGCGACUCUCGUUUUUGUUUUCAUUUUUCAAAACCCAAGUUGACCUCAUUUUCAUCAAAAAAAUGGUGUCAACACUCAUCUCGAGAAAACGUGUCAUAUCCAAUGCAUUAGGACACAACGUAUUGUAUUCCCGAUAAUGAGCUUUUUAUUUAUAUUUUUUGAUUAAAGAGCAUUCUCGAUUAUUUAGAUUCAACGAAGAAAAUUAGAACCCAAUACGUUAGGGCUCAAUCCUCUCGAAGAUCCCAAAUACCGAGUAUUGCCUUUAUUUUCAAAAUUUUCUCUUUUUUCACGAAUUUGGGUAAAAAAAUCAUAUAUGACAGAAUAACAAUUACGAUGAUGUAAGUAAAAAUAAUACGAUUGAUAGCAAUAAAGAUGAAUGAAUAAAAUGACAAAUUAAUAACAUGCAGAAUAAUAAAUAUGUGAACAAAUUAGACUGAAAUAUUCUCUUUUUUUUUUAAAUAAUAAAGACGUGAAUAGAUAAUUAAAAUGAAAAUGAACAAAAUUAUAGGAGUAUAAAAGUAUAAAUAUGCAUAUAGAUAUGUACGUGGAAAUUAUAAAAUCUAAAAACAAAACAACAAAGAUAUACGUAAAUAUACCAAUAAACAUCAAGUAAAAAAAUAUAAAAAUAUGUGUGUAUAUAUAUACAUUGUAAAAUUAUAAAAUAUGACAAAAACAUAUGUAUAUAUAUAAAUUAUAAAAUAUAAGUACAUAUAUAUAUUAUCAAAAUGUAUGUAUGUAUGUAUACAUAGAUAUAUAUAAAAAGAAUAUAUGUAUAUAUAUAGGGGUUAUAAAAUAUACGUAUGUAUGCAUGUAUAUAUAUAUUAUAGAAAUGUAUAUAUACACAUUGUUGAAAUCAUUUUUAAAUUUGAAAAAACGGGGAUCGAAUUUGAAAAUAAAAAGGGAGUCGCCACCGAUCUUUUAUUGUGGUGUGAUCGGAUCACCUUGAAAAUAAUUUUAGGUCUGCGAAUUUUGAGAAAACAGGUUCGGGAGUCGAUUAAGCACGAGGAAGGGUUAGUAUCCUUUUUGUAAUCACUGAAUUUUGUUCGGCUCGAUUUUGAGUUUUUAAAAAAAAUCAAAAAAAUAAAAAUAAAAAGUUCAUUUUGACCCCUAAAAUUUUUGAAAUUAUCUUUUAACCCCUAAAAUUUUUCAAAAUUACAUUUUUACCCCUAAACUUUUUGAAAUUACAUUUUGACCCCUAAACUUUCUUAAAAUUAUGUUUUAACCCCUAAACUUUCUACACAUUAUGUUUUGGCCCCAAAACUUUUCCUACAUUUGCAGUUUAGUCCUUCUAGCAGCAACUUGCACACCUACUCCCGUGAUUUCCGGCCACCGGCCUAGGGCAUGGCCUCCCUCUCCCCUAGCCACCUACCACCUGCAAAAUGAAGCAAAAAUCAUCUAUAAAAGGGGCUUUUAACCCCAAAAUCAACACCCACGAAUCUCCAAAAAAAAGUUUCAAAGAGAAAAAAGCUUCAAAAAUAAGAAAAAAGGGGAGAGAAAGGAAAGGAAAGAGAAAGGUCCGGUGGAGUCGACGGUGGCAGCUCGAACGGCGGCGUGAAAGAAGCGACGGUGUGGGGGCUCGGUUUUGAAGAAGAAGAAGAAGAAAGAAAAAGAAAAAAGAAAAAGAAAAAAAAUAAAAAAUAAUAUAACAGUCGGGUCAACCCAACCCGACCCGACCCACCGACGAUCCGACCCGAACAGCAACCCCAGCACCCCAAGCCCAACAAAAAAAAAGAAAGGAGAAAAGAAAAACAGGCCAGUCCAACAGGCCCAACAGCCUGGCAGCCCAGCAGGCCAGCAGCCCAGCCCCUAGCAGGCCAGCAGGCCUCCAAGCCCAACGCAAGCACCAGCAGGCCAGAAAAAGAAAAGAAAAAAGAAGAGGAAAAAAGAGAAAAAAAAAAAAGAAAAAAGAAAAAGGGGCCCAAGUUGUGCGACCCGUUCGAUUAAGCUCGUAUUUUCGAGCUUUUCGGUAAUUUUCUUUUUUUUUUUUUUUUUAAUUUAAUUUGUACACUUUUAUAAUAUCUCGUAUUUUAUAUUAUGCGUUUAAUAUUUUCUUUAUUUUUAUUUUAAUUUUACAAAACAUUAGUAUAUUUAUUUUAUUUAUUUUAAUUUUAAAUAAUUUAAAUAAAUGAGGCAACGAAUCGAUCUAACAUUAAAUCGUCUGUCGAAACCGUUUUUUUGAAAACAAAAUUUAGUUGUCGACUUUAAAAAUUAAACUGGAGUCGCCACCGAUCCUUUAUUAAGGUGUGAUCGGCUCACCCUAUUUUGGUCUACGAAUUUUGAGAAAAUGAGUCCGGGAGUCAGUUACGCACGAGGAAGGGUUAGCACCCUCGUAAUGCCCAAAAUCGGUACCAAAUUGAUCAUUUAAUGUCUUAGUGUCGAAGUUUAAAAAUAUUUUAAAAUAAACUCGAAUGAUGAAAUUUGAAAAAGGAUAAUCAAUUGUUCAAGUCAUAUAAAGAAAUCGAGUCCCAAUACAUUAGGGUACAAUUCCUCAUAAUCCCCGAACUUUGAAUAUCACUUUUAUUUUAUACGAAAAUCUUCAUUUCGAGAAAGUAACAUGCCACACCCAAUACGUUAGGGCACGGCAAGUUAAGUUCUCAAAAAUUAUUUUUAUACUCAUGCAUUUUGAAUAAAGAAUAUCCUCGGUUAUUUAAGAUUAACAAAAAAAAUCAGAACCCAAUACGUUAGGGCUCAAUUUUCCUUGAAAAUCCCAAACUUCGAAUAUUACUUUUAUUCAAAAAAAAAAACCUUUGAAUCAAGAGAAAAUGAUUUUGAUGUAUGGUUAAAACCAAAAUAUAUUUUCAAAAGGGUAUGUUGAAAAGUUAAUGUACAAUAUGAUACAAAUACUUUAAUUUAAAAUAUAUGUAUAUAUGUAUUUUCAAAAUAUAAGUAUGAGACAUAAAUAAAUUUUGAAAACGUAUAUAAGCAUAUAUUAAAACAGGUAUAUAUAAGUAUACAUAUAUAAAAUAAAGAAAAUAAAUGAAAUAUAUAAAACAAAACAAAAACCUAUUAUAAUUCCUAAGAAAAUAUGCAUGUAUAUAUAUGUAUGCGAGAUUUAUGAAAAUAGGAUAAAAAUAUAAAAAUAUGUACAUGUGAAAAUCAACAAAAUAAAAAUACAAAUUUAUGUAUAUAUAUAAAAUAAAAAUUGGGUAAGUAUGUAUAAAAUAUAAGGCAUGUGAAAGUUAAAAUAAAAAAAAAACUAUAUAAAAAAAUGUGCGAGAGAAAUAUAUGUAUGUAUGUAAAAAAAAACUCAAAUUAUAUAUAUAUAUUAAAUAUGCAUAUGUGUAAAAUACGUGAAUGUGAAUGUAUAGAAAAUAUAUAAUGAUAACUAUAAUGCAUAAUAUAACAAUAAUGUUUUUUUUAAGAAAAAAAAUUAAAUAAAAUAAUAGUUUUUCCUUAAAAAAUUGGAUUAAAUUGAGCUUAAAGACAAAAAAGUGGGGCAGAUUUGAAAUAAAUUGGAAGGUAGGACCAACUUAAAUGCGAGCAGAAUAAUGGGGGAUCAAAAGGGAAAUUAUUCCCGUCUUCCCAAAAGCUGCGCAGCGAUGGGCACAUAUGGAACAAAAAUAAAACAUGCGGGAAAACUUAAAAGAAAUUAGAAAUUUAAUUUAAACGCACUGCUAGAAUAGGGGGACCGAAUGCGCAAAUAGACCAUUUAAGGUCUGACGCGCGGACCCCCCUUUCCCCCAAACGGCACCAUUUCAUCUUUGCUUUUAAAAUUUAAAAGAAACAAAAUUAAAACUAAAAGAAAGUUUCCAAUUAUUUCUUUUUCUGUAAGAACUUUUUAGGGUUUUUUGAACCCAUUUUUUUUUUUGCACUGCCACCACUAGGUCGUCCCUUAGCCUCCGACGGCGCCUCGGCCUCCGAUUGCGACGGAGAGGGGACACCACGACGGCACCAGGUAAGAUCCUUUCUCCUUCUUUCCCUUUUUAUUAUAAAUAAACAAAUAAAAUAGAAAGAAUAGAAAAAAAUAAAAAAAAAAUCCCGAUUCACCUUCGAAAAAAAGAAAAUCUUUGUAAUCUCAGUUCUUCCCUCUAUUUUCGUAUCUCUUUUACACUGAAUCAUCCCCCUUUUUACAGAAGAAAUAUGGCGUUAUAUAGCCUAAAAUGGAAAAGAAAAAUAAUAAAAAAAAUCAAAAUAAAAUCUAUUCUGUUAUUGCUGCGCUUGUAUGCCUCUUUUUCGCAGGUUUGGUGGCGAAAAGGGCGUAUGUACGUGAAGGCACAAAUCGCGCGGAGGCUGGCUCUGAAUCUUGCGGCGGCUGGAGAGGGGAUUGCGGCGCUAGGAGUUGUGUACUGAUACUAGGGUUUCUUUGGGCUAGGGUUAAUUUGGGUUUUGAGAUGUUAAGUGGGUCUGUUUAUUGGUUUGGGCCCGGGCAUUAUUGGGCUUGAGCCCGGGCAUUAUUGGGCUUGUACAUCGUCGAUUUCAUCGCUAUGUUGGGUGAAUGUUACCGGUUUAUGUUAAAUACGAUACGCCCUUUUAAAAAUUGUAAAUAUUCAAAAAAAUUGUAUUUUCAAAAAAAAAUCCUCGGGUUUUGAAAUUUCGUGUCUUCAAAAAAAUUUCUCGUGUUUUCAAAAAUAAGGUAAUGAGUCGAUUGUCACUAAUUCGUUGAUUUCAUUGCUAUGUUGAGUGAAUAUCACCGAUUAGUGUUAAAUACGAUACAUGCUUAAUAUAAAAUCAGAAAAUUUUUCGUGUUUUCAAAAUUCCCGUGUUUCAAAAAGUUUCAUGUUUUCAAAAAUUAUCGUGUUUUAAUCGGAUCACGAUUAAAUAUUAAAUUGAACUCGUAUUUUUGAAAAUUAAGACAACAUGCGUUUAAAGAGAUACCAAUUUUGGGCGUCGCGAGGGUGCUAAUACCUUCCUCGCGUGUAACCGACUCCCGAACCCUAAUUUUCUCUGGAUUUUUACGUGGACCUAAAAUUACCUCUUUUUUAGAAAAGUUUAAAAAUAAAUUUUUCUUCUAAAAAAAGAAUUUUGUAGGUGUCCGAUCACACCUAGAAAAAAGAUCGGUGGCGACUCCUUUUUCAAAUAAAAUCGAGAUUCGGUUUUCAAAUUUACAAAAUUACAUCGACUAGCGCCCGUGCUAAAAAUUUUAGGUCGCUACACUUUUAUCUUGAAUAAAAUGAAUUGGAUGAUAAGGUUCACUUAUUUCAAAGAAAUAAAUUGUUACACUCAGUAAGUUAGAGUACAACAUUUCAAAUCCUCAAAAUUAAGUUUCUCCUUUGAUUUUUAUGCAUUUUGAGAAGGAUAUCUGAUUAUUUGGGUCAAAUGAGAAAAUCAAAACCCAGUAAGUUUGGGUUCGAUUUUACAAAUUCCUAAAUAUCGAAUAUUGCUUUUAUUUCCAUUUAUUAGAAAGAUCCUUGUCUCGAGAAAACAACAUGUCUUAUCCAAUGCGUUAGGAUACAACGUGUCGAAUUCCCGAGAAUGAGUUUUUUAUUUAUAUUUUUGAUUAAAGCAUAUCCUCGAGUAUUUAGAUUCAACGAGGAAAAAUUGGAACUCAAUACGUUAGGGCUCAAUCUUUUCGAAGAUCCCAAAUGCCGAGUAUUUUGAAGAUUUUUGAAUAAAUUGGUUUUGAUACUUAAAUGAUAUGAAACAUAACCUUUUAAGCGAAUAAAAUGCAAUAGAAUAAUAAUGUACAAUGCGAAUUGAUUAUUCGUAAAUUUAAAUAUACACCCAUGAAUACAAACAAUCAAUAGGUAAAUACAAACAAACAUAGUAACAAUAACCUCAAUUAUGCCAAUAUCAACAUCAGCAUUCAAAAUGAAUACUAUAAAAAAGAUAAAUCAAAAUGCAUUAAAUCAUAUACAUAUAUUAAUUUAAAAAAAAUAGUACAUGUGGAAGGAAAAUUUUAAUAAUAAUAUAAAUAAUAAUAUAUACAUAAUAAUAUACAAAAGUUGAAAUAAGCAAAAUAUAUUAAAGUAGGUUUUUUGUUUUUUUGUUUUCAAAAAUGUAUGUAUAAAUAAAUAAAAAGAUAUAAUAUAAAAUCAAUAAUAUGUUAUAUAUACACCUAAAAUAAUAUUAUAUAAUAAUGUAUAUACAUAAAAAAAUAUGUAGAUAAAUAUAUAAACUAAUAUAAAUAAUAAUACUAAUAAUAAUGAUGAUAACCAGGAUAAUAAAAAUAAUUUAAUAAUAAUAAGGCAAAAAGGGGACUAAAUUGAAACUAAAACCAAAUUUAAAGGAUGAAAAAUGCAAUUCGAAAUGUCCAAAGGUUGCGUUGAAACGCGCGCGUAAUAUUAGGGAUCAAAAAGGGAAAUAAUCCCUUGCCCAAAACGCAGCGCUUUAAUGCGGAUUAAAAUGAAACAAAAAUAAACUGAGAGAUUAAAUCUAAAAAGAAAUAAAGGGAUUGGAUUGAAGUGCGCUUGAAAAGUGGAGGGGCUGUGCGAGCAAAUAGACCGUCAAACAAAAUACGCGAAUCCUUCCCUCGGAUCGGGUCACCGCGCGGAUGCUAGCAUCAUACGACGCCGUUUUGAGACCAUCAAAUUGGCAUAAAACGACGUCGUUUAUUACUACACUUAUAGACCAAAAAUAACCCUAAAAUUAGCAGCCAUUUCAUUUUAACAAAACAAAAUAGAAAAACCUAAACUAAAACACUCUUCUCUGUGCCGCUCCGCCGUUUGCAGCCCAGAGACGACCCCCUUUCGAACUCCGAUUUCAACAGAGCAGAACGGGGGUUAACGGCACCAUCAAGGUAACCUUCUCCUUCUUAUUUGCUUUAUAUAUACGCUUAUAUGUGAUUAAUAACGAAACAGAAAAAAAAGAAAAGCAAUCGAAAAAAAAGAAUGGAAAAAAGAAAACCUUUUUCUUUGUAUUGAUUUUGUUUUUUGAUACAAUCUCUGUGUAUUCUCUCUGUGUAUGAGGAUAACCCCCUUUUACAAUGCAUAUUUGGCUUUUUAUAUAGCCAGAAAAAUGAAAAGAAAAGAAAAACCAGAAAAUUCCAAAAGAAAAAAAUGUUUUUCCCUCUUUGUUGUUGCUACUGUUUUCUGUUUGUCUUCUCUUGCAGGUACGGCGUACGGAGACCGACGUGGCGGUACGGAGGUAGCCGUACGAAGGCGCGCUUGGCUGGGGGAAAACGGCGCUGGAGGUUGCUGUUGCGGCGCUUGUGUUAGGGCUGAAUGCCUAGGGUUUCCUUUAGUUGUUAGGCCACAUAGCAAUUGGGCUGGGUGUAUAAGCUUGGGCUAGGUUAAUUGAUUUGGGCCACAUUGGGCCCAUGUAUUUGGAUUGUGGACUGUUAUUAAUUUUUGUUUGGUUUAUAUUUUUUUAUUUUGAUUUGAUUUUUAUAUUACGGGCCGGCCAAAUUGGGCCUACUACACACAUAUAUAACAAAGUUUGGAAUUAAAAAAAUAAAAUAAAAUAAAAAGGACAUAAAUAAACAAACAACAAUAUUAAUAUAAUAAGACAAAUAUCUUUAUGCACACCAUCAUCCCACACUAUUGGACUCCUCGCUUUAUGCACACCAUCAUCCCACACUAAAGAACCAGAAACCAUAGAUGCAUCCAUUGUUCCUUCAAUUAUUACUUGAAAAGACAGCUUUUGUCCCACAGAUGUAAACGACAAAACAUUAGGGUUAACUCAGACUCUAGCUGUUCUUGUCGGAAAACUCACUCUUGCUCUAUACGUCGCCAUCGGAGAUCCCACAUUCGUAACAGUUCUAUUGAAAACACGACGAACAGUUGUUGAAGAAGAAGUGAAAACAGCAAAUGAAGGAUAGUUUAGAUCCGAAAGUACUGUUCCAUUUGUUGCUGCAGAACAUGUUGCAUUAUCCCUAGUAACUUGUCGAAGAAACCGAGUGUCAUAUCCUUGUCCGCAUAAAAAAUUUAUGUAAUCAACUUCAUUGGAAUUGUAGAUUAAGCCUGGAUUUAUAGCUUUGAUUGGGUUCAAAUGGCCUGAUCCGUAUGCAAACUCAGCGUCCGAGUUCAUGCCUGAACUCAUAGGGGAAGCUGUAGUGAUAAGGGAAGAUUUGAUAGCAGAAGGAGACCAAGUGGGAUGAAAAGAUUUAAUGUACGCAGCUGCGGCAGAAACAUGGGGACAAGCCAUUGAUGUGCCUGUGAUUAUGUUAAAUGGAACCCAUCUAUUAUCGCCUCUAUUUUGGGAAACUGGUGAAGCUAAAGACCAUGCAGCUACAAUAUCAACCCCUGGUGCUGACAAAUCUGGCUGUAAUUAUUACCCACAAAAAUUUAGAAAACUUGGGAUUAGGUUACGCCUAAGUUUACUAUUACCAUAUUUUAUAAGCUCUCCCCGAGCUUAAAAUUUUGUUUAAAUUAACUCAUAUUUAUAAAUAAUUAAUUUAAAUCUAUUUUAGAUUUGCCUAUAUUAUUUAAAAAAAAUAAAAUAUAUAUUUAUAUUAUUUUUAAUUUAAUAUUUAAUAAUUUUAUAUAUUUUUUAUUUAUUAAAAUUUUAUAUAUAAUUACCUAACAUUUUUUAAUUUUUAGAUUAUAAUAGUAUUAUAUAGUACUAUAGAUUUAAUUUUUAUAAAUGGUAUAAUAUAUAAAAAUAACAUAAUAUAAAAUAUUAGAAACAUAAAAAUUAAGUUGGACUUGGGUUUUAAAUGUUCAAUCAUAGAGAUUGUACAACCCAAAUUUUUACCCGGCCCAAUACUCAAAUUAAAACCAAGCCCAUUACAAAACAACCCAAACCCGGAGCCCAACUAGCCUAACUCGAGGCCCAAACCUGACCGGCCCAAUAGCUAAGGCCCAACUCCCCCCCAAAAAAAUCUGCCUAGGGUUUCAGAGACUGAAACCCUAGGCGCCGCCUCUAGGGUCUUUGACCCCUGGCCUUCUGACACCGCCACUGUCCCAUCGACGCCGCCCGCAGCCAAGUCGACCCUCCACUUGCGCCGUCACCUGCAAAGAAGAAACAAAACAAAGAAACAGAGAGCAGAGAACGCAAGCAAUAGUGGAAAUCGGCUAUAAAAAGCCAACAAAAUGUAAUUUUUUGUUUUUCGGGCAAUCUUUGUAACAAAAAAAAUAGAUAGUAGCAAAAUAAAUAAAAAAAACAUUCAAGGUGAUUUAGACUUCUGGAUUCCUCUGUUUUCUUUCACUUUAAGUUUUUAUUUUAUAUUUUUUUUCUUUUUCAUUUGGAUUUGUUUCUCUAAAAAAGGUCAAGAAAAGGGUGAAAGGCGAUACCUUUCACUUGCGGCACGCCACCGUCGGUGAUCCCUUCUGCGCCGGAGCCGUAGAAAUCCUCUGGGGUUUUGUUUAGGCCGCGCCAGAGGAGAGACGGGCAAAAAGGAGCAACCCCUCCCCUUUUCUUUUCAUUUUCCGGCAACGCGAAGCCGCGAUGAGGCCACGGCGAGGCCUUUGCGCGAGCUCACCGAUGGUGUGGCCGGAUUCAAAGGGGAGAGGAAGCGUUUUUAACAGAGAGGGGAAGAGAGUGAUUUGAGUUUUUUUUUAUUUUAGCUGUAAAAAAUGUAUUUUUUGUAAAAAUUUUCUGUUUAAAUAACCCCCCACGAAAUGGCGCCGUUUUAGGCUUCCCUGACCCGCGCGGUGACCCAACCCAGGGGAGGAUCUGCGCGUUUUCUAUAAAUAGGGUAUUUGCGCAAUAAGUCCCUCCGAGUUUGUGACACUUUCGAGGCAGUUCUCUGUAUUUUUGCAAUUCAGCCCCGCAGUUUGUUUCUGUUUCAUUUUAGUCCCCAGAAACGCCACGUUUUGAGAUUUUGGUUUAUUUUCAGUUUUGGUCCCCCCUCUUUCAGCGUGCGUCGCGAUUUAGUCCCUUUUACCUUUUCUUAUUUCGAUUUCGCCCAAUACUCUCGUUUUUAUUUCGAUUUAGUCCAUAUUUUAGUAAUUCUAUUAUUUAGUUAUUAUUAUUAUUAUUAUAUUUAUUAAUAUUAUUGUUAUUUUUAUGUUUUUAUAUUUACUUAUGUAAAUUUUAGAUAUGUGUUCUAUUAUACUAUUAUUAUAUAAAUUUUUUUAUACAUAUAUGUAUAUAUAUAUUUCUAACUUAUUUAAUAUAUAUAAAUACUCAAUUUUAUAUACGUAUCUAUAUAUAUAUUUUUAUAUAUUAAAAUAUGUAUAUCAUAUAUUAUUUUAUGUUAUUUUUAUAAUCCACAUAUGUAUCUCUUUACAUUUAAUUGUAUUUACUACUUAUUUAUUUCAUUUUCUUUAUUUUUUUUGAAUAAAUGUUUUAAUUUAUUUGUUUAUAUAUUGUUACUUUAUAUGAUUGUAAGUAUGACUUUUAUUUAUUUUAUAUUGUUACUAUUGCUCGUAUCAUUUUUAUACUUUUGCGUACAUUAUGAUUUUAUCAUGCAUAACAACAAUGUAAUUGGCUUUCGUAUUUUUUUUACUACGAUUUUCGUAUUUCAUUUUAUUUGAUAUAACAAAGUUGUUUUGAAUAAAUAAUAUUUUGUGUUUAGAUUCGAGAAAAUCGUACCCUAACUUACUGGGUUUCAAUUUUCACGAUAAACCAAAAUGCACGAAUCUUUUUAAACUCGAAUUCUAAAUAAUCUCGGGUUUUAAAAACAAAAUCGCGUCCUAACUUACUGGUCGUGAUCUCAUUUUUAAAUUUGAGAUAGGUAAAAUAUCUUUUAAACAAGCAUUUUUAUGUAUUGGGAAUUCGAGAUAUUGUGUCCUAACUUACUGGAUAUGAUUCUCUUUCUCGAAUAACGUGAAAUAUGCCCAUUCUUUGAAAAUUUUCAACGUUUUAAUACAAGGAUCAUAUUUUUAAAUUUCUUUAAAGUUUUCGGUUUUUCGACACUAAGACAUUAAGUAAUCAACUAGGUGUCAAUUUUGGGCGUAUCGAGGGUACUAAUCCUUCCUCGUGCGUAACCGACUCCCGAACCCGUUUUUCUGAAUUUCGUGGACUAAACUCGUUGUUUUAAUAAAAUUAAACUUUUUAUUAAAAACAACCACUUUUACAAGGUGACCCAAUCACACCUCAUCAAAAAGGAUUGGUGGCGACUCCCGUUUUUUUCGUUUUAGUCGAAACCCAAGUCGACCCCGUUUUUUCAUCCAAAAAAUGGUGUCAACAGCUUGGCGACUCCGCUGGGAACUUUAAAUAAAAGAGUCAAGCCACGAGUUGUUUAUUUCUUAUCUUUUUGUCGAAAGUUGAAAAUCUGAUUUAAAUUUAUGAUCUUCUCAUUGCAUUUCAUUUGUUUUGAGUUAUGGUUUUCAUCAUGUUUUGUAUUCUAAAUUUUUAUAUCUCUGCACAUUGCAUUGCAUGACCUUUGGUUACACCUUUUAAGUGGGAGUGAGAAACUACGCUUUCGUGAGGUUUUCACCUCCACAUGGGAUAGUGAAUCGCUUCCGGGAUACAUCUGUACCUAUGUCUUCGUGAGAUUUUCAUCUCCGCAUGGCCAUAGGAAAAUGUAUUCCCCUGAACCGAACUCAGUUUGUAUGAGCCUAUAAUGGGUGAAGAUCGAGGAAUCUGCUGGUUCGGGUACCUUAUCUCUAGAGCCAAACCGCAUAUAGAAGACCUUAGGAACCCAUCCUAGGUAGGAGUCACUCCAAGCCCCUAGUAGUCACCCGACUAGGUACUUUUGUUUUCCUUGCUUACUUAUGUUUUGAACUAACCCCUCUUGUUGUGUUUUGAUUGCAUUGCAUUUGCAUAUUAGGAAAGAGAUAUUGAUUCAAGUCCGAUUACUAAAUUAGAAGGCUUGUCAUGGAAUACGAAUUCUUUGAUAAAGUGGAAAAUAAUACGGCUGCCUGAAUAUAUUCUGAGAAAUACAAGAAUGGCGAUGGAAGAGUUCGUGACCCUGCUUCAUGGCCUGAGGAUUCAAGGCGAUUGUCUAAGAGCCUUCGACGUCCCAACUCCUUUAAAGAAGCUGAUGACCUUAUGGACAGAUGAUGGAUCGCGACCAAGAUCAAGAAAAUGAGCUAGUAAUGGCAUACAUUGGAAAUUGGCGAGAUUAUCUUAAACAUGAGCAUGAAGAAGAAGAUAGAUGUCAUUUCUUGGAAUAUGAGGGUGAGGCCGUACAUGUAUCCCUUUUAUGUAAAGGAAUUUACUUUCUAGAAAAGUUUCCUAAAUGUAAUUGAAUCAGAAUCAACGUCUCUUUAGACAUGCAUUUUAUACAUUGCAUUACAUGCAUUAAAAUCUAUUGAAAGAGUCUAAACGAGUAAAAUUAUUUCAGCUAACCUGAAAAACCGACCAACCAAACAUCCUUACGAUAUCCAAGCAAAGAUUAGAGAAAUGGAACGAAGGUUGGAAAAUUUAGAGCGAAUGCAGAUUCAGAUGCAGGAGCAAUUGACUGAAUUUCAACAGGAGAUGAGAGAUCAGAUGCUAGAAUUACGGAGAACCAUGAUAAACCAGUUCGACCGACUACUAGCUGGAGAGUUAGAAAAGAGGAGAGACCCGGUGGUCCACUUUGGGGUUGAUAAUGAGGACCUUGCCUAUUCCCUAGAUUGUACUCCGACAAGUGUUCAGGUCCAGCCAGAUGGGCGCCCACAAGGGACAUUCUUUACUAUUAGAUUACAACAGUAUCAAACUGGUACAACAACACCAGUGAGUUGUUUGACAGACCCAAUGUCUAAUUUGAGGAACAAUUUUCCUGACAACCCAGCAAAAAUAAAACAAGCAAGGAUAAAAUACCCAGAUACUACAAAGGCCCUAGGGAAGAGGGGAAUAAAGGGGAUAAUGCAAACAGAUAUAACAAGGGACACUCAAAACCAAUCACUGUGGGCUGGCCAAAGACAGAAACCCCCAGACAUCAGAGUUCUUUAAAGAAAGAAUCGGGAGUGAAACCAGGCACUGAGAAGCUCCAGUUCACAACAAUUCCGAUGUCAUAUAAGGAGCUGUAUCAAAGCUUGUUUGAUGCACAUGUUGUUGCUCCUCAUUACUUAAAACCCAAGCAACCCCCGUAUCCCAAAUGGUAUGACAUGAACGCACAAUGUGACUACCAUGCGGGAAUUACAGGGCAUUCAAUAGAGAAUUGUAUUGCCUUCAAGAAGCUAGUUGAAAAAUUCAUCAACAUGGGUAUUGUCAAGUUGGGUGAUUCAUCUAGUGCAAAAAACCAUCUACCCAAUCAUGUUGACAACGGGAUGAAUGAGAUGUAUGAAGCAAUGUUGGCAAGUGUUCACACUAAUGGCAUAUAUGAGGACACAAUUGGGAAGGGACCUUGUUAAAUGUUCGCCCUUAUGAAUUUUGGAGUGUUCUAAACAAUUAGACUGUGAAAGAAAUUCCUAUAAUUUUUAGAGCUUUUCUAGAGUAAUGUUCAGAACAUUUUUGUUGUUUUAAGCCUAGAGGCAAUAAGAACUCUUUUGUGAAAUAGGCUAAUGUCUGAACAUCAUUAUUUUAAUGGAAUGUAUCUUUGCGAUCUUUUUGAACCAAUAUUCUUUCAUUUCUUAUCAAUGAUUGUUUUUAUUCUUUUAUUCUUUCUUCCAAAUCAUUAUUGCAUUCAUAGUCAUAUUGUACAUAACUUCAUAUAUUAUUUGUAUAUUCUUUUGUACUUACAGUAGGUCCCUGAAUAUCAACGACAUGAAUGACACUACUACAGACUCGGAUUCUCCUUUUGAGCGAGACAUGUGUUUAGAGGGAUCUCAUGACUUUGAAGAUGACAUAGAUUGUAGCCUGUCUCGAGACUUAUUGAGGAUGAUAGAACAAGAUGAAAAAUAGAUCCUACCUUACAAAAGUCAGUGGACAGUAAGCUUAGGAGAGGAGAAAGAGGUAAAGAUUCGAGUUUGCAUCAUCGCAGAGAUAAAGCGAGACAUUAUUGAGUUACUCUAAGAAUUCAAAAAUGACUUCGCAUGAUCAAGAUUCGCCUCAGCUACUUAGACGUGUGAACGCUAUUGAAGCAAAGUCUAUAAGGGUGUUUGAGGAAUACAUGCUAAUAGUUUUGCAAUGGCCAAGCAAAUCAUAAGAUUCGGGUACUACUGGUCCACCAUAGAAGAGGGCUGCAUUAGUUAUACCUAGUGCCAUUUAUAGGGUCAAGAUUUAUGUGCUUCUCUCAUCUCUUCAUGUUAUGACCUUCUCAUAGAUUUUCUCUAUGUGGGGUAUGGAGGUGAUGGGCCCAUCUCGUCAAAGCUUUUAGCCAAUAUCAAUUCAUCUUUGUGGUCUUCGAUUACUUCACUAAGAGGGUGGAAAUAGCUUCAUAUACGAAUGUCACAAGGUCGAAGUCAUUAAAUUCCUUUCAAAAAAAAUUAGGAGUCGAUAAAAAAAAGGACAAUGUUAGAAGUUUUUAGUCUGUUCAAAUAUUAGAUGCUGUAGGUAACCAAAAAAAAAAGAUCGUGAGAAAGACGACCGAGACUUGUAAAGAUUGGUAUAAGGAAGUUACCAUUCACCCUCUAUGCUCAUCAAACGACGACUAGGACCUUUACCGGGGUAACACCUGGCCCAUUGGUUUAUGGAAUGUUAAAAGCUUCUUGUCAUGGUCAAAUGAUAUGAGCUUAAGACAAAGAGAUUAAUCCUAGAAAAUGUGGAUGCCAAAUUAGGAAAGACCUUAUGUUGUAAAAAAAAAGCCUGUUCUGGAAGAGCACUGAUAUUAACCGAGAUGGAUGCCAAAGACUUGCCCAAUCUAGUGAAUUCAAAUUCAGUCAAGAAGUAUUUUACCUGCAAAUGAAGAAACCAAGGUGAAAAUCCACAAAGGGUAUCUUGGGUAAAAACAAACUCUACCGGGGCAAUGUCAUUCUCUUGUGCCUAUCACGGUUUUGCCUAUUGAAGACGAGAUUCUUUCUGAGUUUUUGGAUCCAAUCUCAAUCAAUGAGGAAUGUUCAAAGUUAUCUAUCAUGGUCAAAUGCGCCAAAAGUAAACGAUGCGAGCUCAAAAAAAAAUUUGCCCUAGAGAAUUUCAUGAGAAGGACAUGGUACUGAAGAAGAUCCUUCCCAUACAAAAAGAACCUCAUGACAAGCUGGGAAAAACCUAGUGGGGAAGGCCUUAUCUGGAAAAGUGUCAAUCUUGAUCGGAAGGGAUAACAAGGACGAUCCUAAUCCUAUGGGUUUAGAUUCAAUAAAAAAUACAAAAAAAAGAGAAAGAAAGAAAAAAAGAAGAAAGAGAAGAAGAAGAAGAAGAAGAAUAGAAAAGAAAAGGAAAAAAGGAGAGGCCAAGGUGAAAACCCACAAAGGGCGCCUUGAGACCAAAGGGGAUUUGAGUUGAAAACCCAAAAAGGGCGGCUAAAAUUUUGAAACAAAAUGGGGUACGAAGUGAUCAGAGCGGCUUAAAUUUUAGAUCAAAUUGGGGCAUGGUGGUGAUCAGAGUAGCUCAAAUUUUGAUCAGAUCGGGGCAUAUGAUGAUCUUGCCAUACUAAAACAACAAGAAAAGGUAGGCGACAUCUUGGAGCAUCGACAAAGUCCUGAAGAUCUCCUAAACACAUGUCAAACGCAGAAUGGUCUUUCAAAAAGUUUGUACAGAGAAGUUCAGGUUGCGAUAUCUAGGGCAUCUAGCCCUCAUACUAUUUAUAUUGAAUUUGUUAUUCUUGAAAUACUUCUUUCUUUUCCAAGAUACAUGUUCAAAUCAAUUUCUCUUUUUAUUCUUGCUAUCCUUGAUAAUUUAUUCAUUUCGAGCUAUGCUCUCAAAUCAAUUCUAUUUUAUCUAUCGUUAUGAUCUUUUGCAAGCAUGUUGCAUUAGAAUAAUGAUUAAUGGACUAAUAAUACUUUCACAAUGGAAGUUUUGCAUAUUACUCUAAAAGUUUCUAAAUAAUAUAGGAACCUGAAACCGGACUAUUGUUUAGAAAACACCAAGUUUAAAGGGUGAAAUAUCUAAGAAGGAAGGAUCUAAGUUAAAGACUAUCCUUUCAGAUUUUGUUGUCCAAACAUUAAUUGAACAAAAUGACAAGAUGCCGUGUUGGUGACAAAGCUUCAAUGAACAAACAAGUAAUGAUCACCGAGUGAUAAGAAAAGGUUUUCUCAAAGAAGAAAAUUUUGCAAUUGUGCAUGAGCAUUUGGUAUGACACCUUGGGAAUGGGGUAAAAGAACCAAAAAGCUUCACAUUCUAUAUCAUUAAAUUAUGAUAACAGAUGAUCGAGAAAAAGGCCAGGUCUUUCUAUCCUAGGGUUACAAAGGGAGAAAGAUGAUUCAAAUUUUGUAUCCAGUGGAUUGAACCUUGAAGAUUACAGUAGGGGAAAUCCGACCAAGUGAGAGAUGAGCAUUACCAAUAAGACAAAAUAGCAUUCGGACAUGUUGGCAAUAAAGCCUUAUUGAGCAAGGGGCAUUAACAACUCAAACAUUGAAAGAUCAUUUUCAAUUUGCAUUCAUGCAUACACAUUUAGUUAGGAUAUUUUGAUUCAUUUUGAUCAUAAUCACUAGGCAUAAAUAGGUUCAUAUAGGUCAUGUUCCCAAGAGAACAGACCAAUGAAGUUACAGAUCUUGCUUUCCUGCACUGAUAGCGAAGCAAAUCGAAGAAACCAUAGUUUGCAAUUCAAAGAUUGAAUCCACAACGGUGAAUCUUACUUCCCAGGCGAUGCAGCGGAGUAUUUUGAAGCUACAACGGUGAAUCUCACUUCCCUGACAUUGCAAUUCAAAGAUUGAAGCCACAACGAUAAAUCUUACUCCCAGGCGAUGCAGGGGAGCAGAUUGAAGCUAUAAUAGUGAAUCUCACUUCCCCGACAUUGCAAUUUAAAAGAUUGAAGCUACAACAGCGGAUCUUACUUUCCUAGCAUUGCAGUGGAACAGAUUGAAGCUACAGCAGCGGAUCUUGCUUCCCGGGCAAUUAAAAAGAUUGAAGCUACAACAGCGGAUCUUACUUUCCUAGUGUUGCAGUGGAACAGAUUGAAGCUACAACAGCGGAUCUUGCUUCCCUGGCAGUUAAAAAGAUUGAAACUACAACAGCGGAUCUUACUUUCCUAGCAUUGCAGUGGAACAGAUUGAAGUUACAGCAGCGGAUCUUACUUCCCUAGCAAUUAAAAAAUAUUGAAGCUACAACAACGGAUCUUAUUUUCCUAGUGUUACAGUGAAACGGAUUGAAGUUACAACAGCGGAUCUUGCUUCCCUUGCAAUUAAAAAUAUUGAAGCUACAACAGCGGAUCUUACUUUCCUUGCGUUGUAGUGAAACAGAUUGAAGCUACAGCAGUAGAUCUUGCUUCCCCGGUAAUUAAAAAUAUUGAAGCUACAACAGCGGAUCUUACUUUCCUAGUGUUGCAGUGGAACAGAUUGAAGCUACAACAGCGGAUCUUGCUUCCCCGGCAGUUAAAAAGAUUGAAGCUACAACAGCGGAUCUUAUUUUCCUAGCGUUGCAGUGAAACGGAUUGAAGCUACAGCAACAGAUCUUGCUUCCCUUGCAAUUAAAAAGAUUGAAGCUACAACAGCGGAUCUUACUUUCCUAGCGUUACAGUGAAAUAGAUUGAAGCUACAGCAGCGGAUCUUACUUUCCUAGCAUUGCAGUGGAACAGAUUGAAGCUACAGCAGCAGAUCUUGCUUCCCCGACAGUUAAAAAGAUUGAAGCUACAACAACGGAUCUUACUUUCCUAGUGUUGCAGUGGAACAAAUUGAAGCUACAACAGCGGAUCUUGCUUCCCUGGCAGUUAAAAAGAUUGAAGCUACAACAGCGAAUCUUACUUUCCUAGCAUUGCAGUAGAACAGAUUGAAGCUACAGCAGCGGAUCUUGCUUCCCUAGUAGUUAAAAAGAUUGAAGCUACAACAGCGGAUCUUACUUUCCUAGUGUUGCAGUGGAACAGAUUGAAGCUACAACAGCGAUUGAAGCUACAACAGCGAUUGAAGCUACAACAGCGGAUUUUGCUUCCCCGGCAGUUAAAAAGAUUGAAGCUACAGCAGCGGAUCUUACUUUCCUAGCGUUGCAGUGAAACAGAUUGAAGCUACAGCAACGGAUCUUUCUUCCCUUGCAAUUAAAAAGAUUGAAGCUACAACAGCGGAUCUUACUUUCCUAGCGUUGCAGUGAAACAGAUUGAAGCUACAGCAGCGGAUCUUACUUUCCUAGCAUUACAGUGGAACAGAUUGAAGGUACACAGCAGAUCUUGCUUCCCCGACAGUUAAAAAGAUUGAAGCUACAACAACGGAUCUUACUUUCCUAGCAUUGCAGUGGAACAGAUUGAAGCUACACAGCAGAUCUUGCUUCCCCGACAGUUAAAAAGAUUGAAGCUACAACAACGGAUCUUACUUUUCUAGUGUUGCAGUGAAACAGAUUGAAGCUACAACAGCGGAUCUUGCUUCCCUGGCAGUUAAAAAGAUUGAAGCUACAACAGCGAAUCUUACUUUCCUAGCAUUGCAGUAGAACAGAUUGAAGCUACAGCAGCGGAUCUUGCUUCCCCGGUAGUUAAAAAUAUUGAAGCUACAACAACGGAUCUUACUUUCCUAGUGUUGCAGUAGAACAGAUUGAAGCUACAACAGCGAUUGAAGCUACAACAGCGGAUCUUGCUUCCCCGGCAGUUAAAAAGAUUGAAGCUACAAUAGCGGAUCUUACUUUCCUAGCGUUGCAGUGAAACAGAUUGAAGCUACAGCAACGGAUCUUGCUUCCCUGGCAGUUAAAAAGAUUGAAGCUGCUACAGCGGAUCUUACUUUCCUAGCAUUGCAGUGGAAUAGAAUAAAACCAUGAAUCCCCUCUUGAAGUUGCUGCGAAGAAGAUUAAAGCUACUAAUUAGAGCUUUUUAAAGUGUAGUGGAGUGGAUCGACGUGACAAGACACAGUGGAUUGAAAUAAAGCUACUUGAAGAGAAGCACCAAAACAAAUCAAGAAUUGGCAAGACCGGGUAAAAAUUGGUCUUUCUUAGUCUUUGCUCUGUUAUCGUUACACGACAACAAGCAAAGAGGGGCAACUGUACAGCCCAAAUUUUUACCCUGCCCAAUACUCAAAUUAAAACCAAGCCCAUUACAAAUCAACCCAAACCCGGAGUCCAACUAGCCUAACCCGAGGCCCAAACCUGACCGGCCCAAUAGCUAAGGCCCAACUCCCCCCCAAAAAAAUCUGCCUAGGGUUUCAGAGACUGAAACCCUAGGCGCCGCCUCUAGGGUCUUUGACCCUUGGCCUUCUGACACCGCCACCGUCCCAUUGGCGCCGCCCGCAGUCAAGUUGACCCUCCACUUGUGCUGUCACCUGCAAAGAAGAAACAAAACAAAGAAAUAGAGAGCAAAGAACGCAAGCAAUAGUGGAAAUCGGCUAUAAAAAGCCAACAAAAUGUAAUUUUUUGUUUUUCGGGCAAUCUUUGUAACAAAAAAAACAGAUAGUAGCAAAAUAAAAAAAAACAUUCAAGGUGAUUUAGACUUCUGGAUUCCUCUAUUUUCUUUCACCUUAAGUUUUUAUUUUAUAUUUUUUUUCUUUUUCAUUUGGAUUUAUUUCUCUAAAAAAGGUCAAGAAAAGGGUGAAAGGCGAUACCUUUCACUUGCGGCACGCCAUCGUCGGAGAUCCCUUCUGCGCCGGAGCCGUAGAAAUCCUCCGGGGUUUCGUUUAGGCCGCGCCAGAGGAGAGACGGGCAAAAAGGAGCAGCCCCUCCCCUUUUCUUUUCAUUUUCCGGCAAGGCGAAGCCGCGAUGAGGCCACGGCGAGGCCUUCGCACAAGCUCACCGAUGGUGUGGCCGGAUUCAAAGGGGAGAGGAAGCGUUUUUAACAGAGAGGGGAAGAGAGUGAUUUGAGUUUUUUUUUAUUUUAACUGUAAAAAAUGUAUUUUUUGUAAAAAAUUUCUUUUCAAAUAACCCCCCACGAAGCGACGCCGUUUUAGGCUUUCCUGACCCGCGUGGUGACCCGACCCAGGGGAGGAUCCGCGCGUUUUCUGUAAAUGGGGUAUUUACGCAAUAAGUCCCUCUGAGUUUGUGGCACUUUCGAGGCAGUUCUCUGUAUUUUUGCAAUUUAGCCCCGCAUUUUUGUUUCUGUUUCAUUUUAGUCCCCUGAAACGCCACGUUUUGAGAUUUUGGCUUAUUUUCAGUUUUGGUCCCCCCUCUUUCAGUGUGCGUCGCGAUUUAGUCUCUUUUGCCUUUUCUUAUUUCGAUUUCGCCCAAUACUCUCGUUUUUAUUUCGAUUUAAUCCAUAUUUUAGUAAUUCUAUUAUUUAGUUAUUAUUAUUAUCUUUAUUAUUAUUAUUAUAUUUAUUAAUAUUAUUGUUAUUAUUAUGUUUUUAUAUUUACUUAUGCAAAUUUUAGAUAUGUGUUCUAUUAUACUAUUAUUAUAUAACUUUUUUUAUACAUAUAUGUAUAUAUAUAUUUUUCUAACUUAUUUAAUAUAUAUAAAUACUCAAUUUUAUAUACGUAUCUAUAUAUAUAUUUUAUAUAUUAAAAUAUGUAUAUCAUAUGUUAUUUUAUGUUAUUUUUAUAAUCCACAUAUGUAUCUCUUUACAUUUAAUUGUAUUUACUACUUAUUUAUUUCAUUUUCUUUAUUUUUUUGAAUAAAUGUUUUAAUUUAUUUGUUUAUAUAUUGUUAUUUUAUAUGAUUGUAAGUAUGACUUUUAUUUAUUUUAUAUUGUUGCUAUUGCUCGUAUCAUUUUUAUACUUUUGCGUACAUUAUGAUUUUAUCAUGCAUAACAACAAUGUAAUUGGCUUUCGUAUUUUUUUUACUACGAUUUUCGUAUUUCAUUUUAUUUGAUAUAACAAAGUUGUUUUGAAUAAAUAAUAUUUUGUGUUUAGAUUCGAGAAAAUCGUACCCUAACUUACUGGGUUUCGAUUUUCACGGUAAACCCAAAUGCACGAAUCUUUUUAAACUCGAAUUCUAAAUAAUCUCGGGUUUUAAAAACAAAAUCGCGUCCUAACUUAUUGGUCGUGAUCUCAUUUUUAAAUUCGAGAUAGCUAAAAUAUCUUUUAAACAAGCAUUUUUAUGUAUUGGGAAUUCGAGAUAUUAUGUCCUAACUUACUGGAUAUGAUUCUCUUUCUCGAAUAACGUGAAAUAUGCCCUUUCUUUGAAAAUUUUCAACGUUUUAAUACAAGGAUCGUAUUUUUAAAUUUCUUUAAAGUUUUCGGUUUUUCGACACUAAGACAUUAAGUAAUCAACUAAGUACCAAUUUUGGGCGUAUCGAGGAUGCUAAUCUUUCCUCGUGCGUAACCGACUCCCGAACCCGUUUUUCUGAAUUUCGUGGACUAAACUCAUUGUUUUAAUAAAAUUAAACCGUUUAUUAAAAACAACCACUUUUACGAGGUGACCCAAUCACACAUCAUCAAAAAGGAUUGGUGGCGACUCCCGUUUUUUUUGUUUUCGUCAAAACCCAAGUCGACCCCGUUUUUUCAUCCAAAAAAUGGUGUCAACAGAGAUAACUAGAUUAUCUCUGAAAAAUUAAAAUUCCAAUGUAGCAUAUAAUUUUAAGAGUUUUAUUACCAAAGAAAGCAAACAGAGACAUGAAGCAGCCAAUUACAUCGUACAAACAUGGAGUUAACAAAAUAGAAGGAUGUUCAUAUAAACACAACGAUGGGACUCCUCACUUUGUGCUCACCAUCGUCCCACACUAAAGCACCAGACACCAUAGCUUUAUCCAUUGUCGCUUCCACUAUUACUUCAAAAGACAGCUUUUGUCCCACCGAUGUGAACGACAGAACAUCGGGGUUAACCCUGAUUUUCAACGUACCUGUCGAAAAACUCAGGUUAGCUCUGUAAACCGCCGUCGGAGAUCCCACGUUUGUGACGGUCCUUUUGAAGGUACGGCUGAAUGGUUUCAAUGGCGAAGUGGAAAGACCAAAGGAAGGGUAGUUUAGUUCCGAAACUGUCCCAUUAGUGUCUUCAGGACAAGUGGAGUUGUCUUUGGAUAAUAAUUGUAUUAACCGAGUGGCGUAUCCUUGUCCGCAUAAGAAGUUUAUGUAAUCGGUUUCAUUGGCAUCGUAUACUAGACCUGGAUUUGCAGCUUUUAAAGGAUUCAAAUGGCCUGAACCGUAUGCAAAUUCAGCUUCCAUGUUGAUGCCAGAGCUCAUGGGGGCGGCUGCAAUUAACAUUGCAAUUGGAAAUUUAAGUGAAAGUUGUACCUAAUCGAACUAUAAAACAUAUUUGUUAUGAGGUUUAUAAUUAAUUACCUGUGGUCAUAAGGGCAGAUUGAAUAGCAGCAGGAGACCAUGUGGGAUGAAAUGAUUUAACGUAGGCAGCUGCACCAGAAACAUGAGGACAAGACAUUGAUGUUCCUGAGAUUAUGUUGAAUGUCACGAACCUGUUGUCGCCUGGAACUAAAGAAACAGGAGAAAUUGAAGACCACGCUGCUAGAAUGUGAACCCCUGGUGCUGAUAUAUCUGGCUGCAAACAACAAUUUAAUGAAAAAAAAAACCAUCAAUCCGUCACAAGUUUCUGCAAAAUCAUAUACUAUAAUAUAUUUGGAAAGAUUUGGAUAAAAAUAUUAAACCAAAGCUUUUUUAUCAUUCAAGAGCAAAAUCACGCUCGGCCUCACCCAACCAUUUUUUUUCUAAAUCUAUAAUAUAUUGUUUUUUUUCUUAUAUUAAAUUGUAAUUUAUAUCCCAUCAAAAAAAUAUUUUAAGUUAUCUAUUUUUAAAAUUUUAAUAAAAGAAAAAUAUUAAAAUACUAUAAUUUUAAAAAUUAUAUUGUUUGGAAUUGAGCAAAAAAAAAAUCAAAGAUUGACCCAAAUCGAGGUGUUUAGAUGAUGAAAUACAAGUUAAAAUAUUAUGGUUAUCCAAACUGAGCCGAAUGCUACUUUUUUGUUUAAUUUAUAAUUAAUUUUAAUUUUUAUAAUUUAAAAAAUAAAUAUUUUAUAUUUAAAAUAGUGAAAAUAACUUAAAAGUUCUAUAUAGAAAUAUUUUUUAAAAUUACCAUAUAAAAGUUAUUGGUUAUUUUUUAUUUACUUGAAAAAAUAAAUUUUCUAGAAAUAUUUAUAAAAAAAAAAGUUGAAAUUUUAUCAAAUGAUAUUCAAAAGAUAUAAAAUAAAACUCAUUUUAUCAAAAUAAAUCUAAAAAUCUAAAUAAGGAUAAAUCGAGAAUCGAAUUGAAUUAUGAUAAACGAUUUAAAAAAAACGACCAAACUAAACUAAACUCACCCCUAAUAUCGACAAACUUAAACAAAUUUGGAUUAAAUAUUUACUAAUACAAGUAGGCUUGAAUUAAAUCCGUCGACCCACGAAUACUUCUAUAUUUACCUUAAAAGAUGUUUAUGUUUUAUAUAUUGGACACAAUUAUUGAAAGAAAAAAAAGUCAAACCAUUAAAUUUUCCAUCAAUUUACCUUAAUAAUCUCGGGUGUAAUCGGAUUCGGACCUCUCGACGAGAAAGAGAUGAUAUAAGGAGCCAAUGAGUCAUUAACCUCACUACUCCUGAAUAUAGUUGCUGUUGGAGCACUACAAAAACAUAUAGGCAAAGUCUUACAUGAUAUUCAUUUGUGUAUUCAUAUUGUAUUCGUAUCGAGUAAUCGUACCUGCUGGAGUUUACGUACUGAAAAAUGUUGCGACCGUCAACAAAGUUAAAACAAGAUGCAGGCAAAGGAAAAAGGCUAGAAUAGUCAAUGCUGUCCUGGCCUCGAGCCACGGUCCCAGCUGCACCAGCCAAAAGGGCUCCUAUCCCAUUAGUGCGUAUCGUAUCACAAAGAACAAUCUUACCCUUCACCAAAUUUUUAUCCAAUGAAUUCGAAAAACAUAACCUGCACUUAAAUGAUUAGAUCACUAAAAUAUUAAUAGUAUAAAAAGAUAUUAAAAAAUGAAAUACUUUAAUUUUACACAUGUGUAACUGGAUCAAUUAAAAAAAGAGAAGCUAAGUUUAUUUACCUGGAUGAUCUACUAGAUGUUGUAGUAGUGUUUGGUGCAUCUCCACCAUAAAUCAUAGGGUAUGUUUUAUUCUUGAGAUCAAAUGUAUUUAUUGAUACUCCCUACAUACAACCAUACAUACAUAUAUAUGAUAACUAUCAUUAUAAAUCUAUGACUAUAAAUCAUGUAUGUAUUUAUAUUACCUCAUAAAUCUUGUUGUUGCCAAGUUGAACCUUGGUGGAAAACUUGCGAUCGAUGGUGCUAGCUGCCACGGAAAGCGACCACGGUGAGAAAUUAGAGAUCGUUGAACGUCCAGGGCCUUCGUUACCCGCAGAACUUACAGUCAGUAUACCGUUUUUCAUGGCAUGAAAAGAUGCGAUAUCGAUCGCAUCUUCGAAAUAGUCUCUGGUCCGUCCUCCACCGAGUGAAAUUGAUAUAAUAUCGACUCCAUCAGAGAUCGCAUCAUCGAAUCCCGCGAGAAUGUCGGCAUCCUGACAACCAUCGGACCAACAUACUUUGUACACCGCAAUGCGUGCCGAUGGAACCCCUCCUCGAGCUGUUCCUGAACCAAAGCCGUAGAGACUUGCACCGUCGACUAAAUUCCCGGCUGCCGUGGAAGCAGUAUGAGUCCCAUGACCGUCGAAGUCUCUCGGAGAUUCAAAGUCUUCCGGUAAAAACAGUCCAUCGCUGCGGUAAUAUUUUGCACCUAUGAUCUUGCUGCAUUUGAACAUAUAGCAAUAUUAGUUAGACAUUUGAAGCACUAAGAUUUCUCCCAUAUCGAACAUAUACUUGUAUCCGAAGCGCACCCCUAAACCCAGUAACAUAACCCAAAAAAAGAAACAAAAGUUACUUGUUGCAAGUGAAAUUGUCUUGUGGUUGAAAUUGGCAACUGCCUUUCCAUUUGGAAGGAGGUGGACCAAGUCCUUUGUCAUCAAAGCUUAGAGAUUCAGGCCAAAUUCCAGUGUCUAAAACACCAAUGAUAACAUCACUUUCCAUGGUUGCUCUUUCAACUUGUUGAGGGAAUCCCAUAAAAUCCCAUGACCUUGUUGUAUGUAGUUUUCUCUUUUCAUUUGGAAACACUGAUACUACACCCUUCAUUCCUGAACAUAUCCAAACAACCAAAUUCAAAUUAAGCUCGAAGAUCUGCGUCUUAAUCCACAGAGUAUUUCCGCUUUGACUUUUAAAGUAGACCUAUUAUUAUAACUCGAACUUGAAAUUUUGAUUUGUUUAACUCGAAUAUGAACUUGAUCUAACUUGAUUUGAUAUAAAAAGUAACAAUAUGAAACCAGAGGGGCAUGGUAAGGUCUUGACCCUCACCUUGGUUGAAUGAGAACUCUUUAAUCCUUCCCAAAAAAUUGUAUUUUUUUAGCAUUUUCAAAAGAUUAAUAAUAUAAUUUAAGCUUUUGAAUAUAAAAAUUUUAACCUUGAUCCCUUCAAAGUUUUAUAAUUUUAUUUUGGAUCUCUAAAAACUUCAUUGCUUCACCCUUGAAACUGGUUCAACUUGAACUAAAAAAUGAACCAAACUUAAGUGCCAAAUCCGAAUGAAAAAAACUCAAAAAGCUCAAUUGAAAAAUCUGAAUGAUUCAAUUUUGAAAUUGACCUGAACUCAAAAAUAAUUCAAACUCGAAGUAAUAUAAAAAUUUUAAAACUUGAAUUGACUCAAUCUAGAAUAAUCAAAUUUGGAAUCAAUUGAACAUGUCUGGUUACAAGUCUAGUUGAAAAUAUAGCGCUCUCUUUUUUACUUGAAAUUCUUAUAAUUUUGUCUAAAGUUUACCAAUCUAACCCUUGAUUGAAUCAUUCAAAUCAUCUGUUAAUUCAAAUUGGUUCGCUCAAUUUAAAUGUUGACCUAAUAAUAAUUAAAUAAUUAAUUCAAAAAUCAUAAAUAUUAUAAAAUCGAUUGAAGCGGCAAUUUUUUAUUUUGAUUUCUAGUUUUUUUAAUUGAACCCAAAUGAUUCACUCAAAAAUCAAUUCAACUCUUGUUUUCAUAUCGAUAUAUUGAUCGGUCUUGUUCCACCAAUCCGACCUAUCAAUCUAAUUCGAUACAAAUAACACUGCUUUUAUCUCAUAAAAAAUAAUUGAUAAAUACAAACUUAAAUGUUUGUGUAUAUAUCAUAAUGGAUUUGAAGAAAUUUUAAAUGUGAGGUUGGAGUGUUACACUUACCGGCCAUUUUUUGUGCUUCUUCCUCAGUCAAAUCCACCACGAACCCAUUAAAACUCUUUUUGUAGCUGUACAGCACUGUCUUCGACUCACUGCAUUCAUUCCAAUUGCAUGCUCAAUCUCAAUAACCAGUAGUAGGUCUUAUUUUGUUUUGGGAUAAAUAUAAUUAAAUAUUACAAUUAAUAAUUAAUUAAACACUUGUAAAAUAGAAUUUAAAAUUCCAUAUUUACUAUCUAAAAAAAUGUACUCGUCCCGCUCUUUAUUCACUUAAAAAAAACUGCUCCAUUCGGAACAAUUUAAUUUAAAAUCCGUUGUAUGAUUUGAAUUUUGUCAUCUCUACUUUGCUUUCAAGAUUCUUUUUUAAAGAAAUUAAAACGUUAGAAUAUAAGAACAUAUAUUUUCUUAUCUAUAUUUGAAUAUAAGGAUAAAGUCAGAAAAUUAUUUUAGAGAAGUUAGAGAUAAAUCAUAAAUUAUUGAUUAACGGUAUAAUUUUAUCAUUAUAUUAAUAUAUAAUUUUAUAAAAAUUUAAGAAAUUAAAUAAUAAAUCUAUUAUUAGGAGGGGCUAAGGCUAUUGACUGCCCUUUUACCUUGGUCCCUGUUUAUAUAUAUAUAUAUAUAUAAAAUAUAAAUAUCAGAUACGGAUAUUUAAAGAAAAAAUCAGAGGCAACAUAUGUUUACACACCUGCCAAAAACAUCUUGUACCAUGCUGCUAUGAAGCAAAGCUGUGGAAGCUCCAUCUUUAAGUCGGUCACCCAUAUACACAAUAUAGCUCUGAAUAUUCACCGAUUACAAUUUUUAUUUUUCUUAAAAUGAAGUUCAUCACCAAUGGAAAUUUUAGAAAAAAAAAAAAAGACAAGAAAUUAAAUCCAGUAUUAACCUUUCGAUUGGCAUUGGCGUUGGAUUGAAAAAGAUGAGAGGCUGCUUUGGUAGUAAGAAGAGCUAAAAGAAAGCAAUGAAGUAGAUAUUUUCCUCCCUCCAUUGAAACAAUGCUCACACAAAAAUAAAUAACAAACUUUUCCAAGUAGUAUAUUUAUGGAGAAAAAUAGAUGCUAAAGUCUUAGUCUUUGUGGAAAUAAAUUAUAUUAGAAAUUUAAACUUUUCAUACUUUUCUUUUGUUUUAAUUUAUAUUUGGGAUAAUAUUUAAAAUUGUAUAUAAAUUUGUUGGAUAAUUACUACAAAAUUUCCUUUACAGUAAUUUUAGUAAAAUGUCAAAGUUUUAGAGAAAAGAAAUAUGAGAAAAUCAAGAAGAAUGACUCAAGCUCUCAUUUUGUUGCUUAUAAAAAAUAAUGACCUCCUAUUUAUAGGAUUCGGGUAAAGUAGUUCAGGGAAUUCAAAGGCCAUAUUGCAAUGAUCAGAUUCUGACGAUCAUAUUAUUGCAUUACCUUCGUUAUAAAUUAUAUUUGGGAUAAUAUUUAAAACUGGACAUGAAUUUUAUGUUAUAAUUAUUUCUUUAAAUAUAAUUAUAUUUAAAAAGAAAUUGGAUAAACCAUUUGUUUUAUUUAUGUUUGGAUUAAAUUUUUAAUUUUUAAAAAUAAUCGUGUAUUAUGUCUAUUUCCUACCAUGGUAGCUCAUUAAAUAAGUGUUCCUAAAUUUUUAUAUUUUUGUGGGUAUGAACAUAUGACCUACAUUUUGAUUUUUCUUUAGUAUCAAUAAAUUUGGGGUCACCAAUUGCUACAACUAGUGAACUACUUUUCAAUAUUAUUAUUAUUUCAUUAAAGAUGGAGAAAAGUAUUUUUGAGAUUGAGAAAAUAUUAGGUAAAUUGUUCCUAUUAAAUAAAUUAUUAUUUUAUUUGAUAAUUUAUUGUAUAAUAAUGUUUUUUUUUCUUUAAGUAUUACUUAAGGGUGAAUUCAGUUUGAUUUGAUAAUAUUUUUUUAAAAAAAUUUAAAUUUAUUUAUGAUAAUUUUGAGUUUUAAGUUGUCGAAUUUUAUUUUAACAAAAAGAAAAGAUAUAUACAUAUAUUGAAAAAUAAGUUUCAUAUAGAAUUUUACGUAUUUCUAAAGGGAUUUGAAUAAGUAACAAACUUAACCACGAAGUUAGAAUAGGAGAAAAUAGGUCAAAUUCUGUUAUUAGACACUAUAUUUUGAAUAAGUUGUGAAUUUAGUACCUAUAUAUUAAUUUAGUCAUUUUCAAUCUCUAUACUUUAAAAGUUUUAAUCUUGACCAAAUGAAAGCUAUCACAUUAAUUAAGUUCUGUUAUUUUUAAAAUUUGACACGUCAAACAUAUUAUCGCAUAUGUAAUGUCAUGUCAACUUGCCAUCUCCAUAUAUUACUCACAGAAAACCAAUUAAUAGAUUUAACAGUUGUCGUUUACAUUAAGAUUAAGAUUUCGAAAAUUAGAAAAUAUAAGACUAAGAACGAUCCAAUUCGAGAACAUGAACUAAAUCCCUAACUUUACACAUAAUGCAGGACUAAUAAUAAAAUUUAACCAAAUAGAUUUAAUUGCUAUUGUUUGGUCAGGAUUAAUUUUUUUAAAAUUAAAAAAAUAAAUAGACUAAUAUUAAUCAAAUUAAAAUACGUGUAUUAAAUCUACAAUUUAUGUAAAAUACAUGUUCUAAUGGCAGAAUUUGACCGGAGAAAAUAUGAUAAAUCAGUUUGACUUUAGCUUGUAUGUGGUAGAAUGACAUUAUAUGGUUUUAUUGGGCAUUCUUUGGUGGCGUGUAUGGGAAGCAACCAAAAAAAGGGUAAACCUCAUUAAUCGCUAAUUUACGUAUUUGACAAUCGAAUCGAUAAAAUUUGUAUAUGUAGAGAUUGAAUCGAUUGAUUUAAUUUAGAAUUAAAAUUAAAAUAAUAAAAUAUAUAAAUUUAAAAGCUACAUAUAUUAUUAUACCAAUUAGAUAAAAGUCAUCUUUUCUAUUAACAAUUUAAUAAUAAUGUUAGUGAUAAAUUUGUAAAUUUUUAUACCUUGGGUGUCUACUUGCUAUAUAAAAUUUUUUAGUUUUCAUAAUCAUUUUUCGAAAAAUUAUUUUUCAAAUAAAAAAAUGAUUUUUAUAUAACAUUUUAGCUAAAAUUCUAGAGGGUGUGGAAAUAAAUAACGAACUAAUUUGUCUCCUAACAUGUCCAGAGAGAGACAUAGUGUUAGAAUAGGAGAAAAUAUUGCAAAUCAGUUUGAUUUUAGUUUAAAGAGGUGAAAAUGACCUCUUGGCAUUAUUCGUCGGUCUGUAUGGGGACGCAAGAAAAAUAUUACAAAAAGGCAUAAUGUCAAUUUUAGAUUUUCAUCUUCUUAACUUUUAUCAAUUUGGUUAAAGUUGACAUUAAAACGCCUUUUGAGUACUAAUUCUUAAUUAAUAAGCAACAAAUAAAAUUAGAAUCUACAUUUUCAAAGGUUAAUAUGUUAAGGGUAGACUACAUUAGUCACUAAAUUAUAGAUAAGUUUUCGUUUUGGUCACUUAACUAAAAAAGUUACAAUUUAGUCAUUGAACUAUUCGAAAGUUUUCAUUAAAGUCACUGGACUCUUAAAAUCGGUGCUAUAUGGUUUUCUCUAUCCGUACUGCCUGCACCAAUCAAAAGUUCUUUUUCCCAUUCUCUUUUGCAGUUUGUUUUUUUUUUCAUAAAACAAUUUUGGACAUCAUGAAUCUACGGACCAAAAUUCAAAUAGCUUUUUUUUUUUCUGAUCUUCGAUACUGACCGUCAGAUCGACUUGGACUUCAGGUAUAUUCUUCUACUCAUAGAUGGGUACUAAUCCAUCAUAUCGAUCAUCAUUUAGAGCUUGUUGGUGGAACUUUAAAAAAAAAAAAAGACCUAAUAGCUUAGUAACUUAAAUAAAAAAUUUUAAACAGUUCAGUGACUUAAAUGAAAACUUUUGAAUAAUUUAAUAAUCAAAUUGUAUCUUUUUUAAGUUAGUGGCCAAAACUAAGAUUACCCUUUAUUUAGUGACUAAUAGUAUAGUUUACCCAUAUAUUAAAUAAGACCUUGAAUUUUGUCAUCACUUUAUUUAGAUAAAGCGCUUAUACUUUUACUAUACUUAAAUAAACCAUUAAAAUUUUAUGGGUAAACUAAAUUAGUAGUCAUCCAACUAUUAGUAAAUUUUUUAGUCACAAAAUUAUGAAAAAUUACAAAUUGGUCACCCAACUAUUCAAUUUUGUCUUUUUUGGUCACUAACUAGCUAACGGUGAUAGCUUUUAAAAUUGACAUAAUAGCAACUUUAACACUAAAUAUUUAUAAAUUAUGUCAAUUUAGAAUUGAUUCUAAAAAAUUAACUCUCAACAUUUACACAAUGUGUAAUUUGGUUUUUUUUUUUUUUGCAAUUUUACUUUUCUUUGUUGCAUGAAGGUUAAUUUUAAAAGAAUGAGAAAAGAUUAAAAUUAUUAUCUUAGAAUUUUUUGGUAUUUCCAUUUUUUGUAUAUCAAUCAAAUUCAACUAAUAAAAUUGUUUUUUUUAGCUUUUUAGGUGAAAGUGUCACAAAAUAAAACUUCAAAAAAGACCAAAUUUCUCAAUAUGUAAACGUUGAGGGUUAGAUUUUUUUGAAUCAAGACUAAAUUUAUACAAUGUAUAAAUGUCAAGGGUUAAAGUUACUAUUAUGCCAAUUUUAAAAGCUGUCACCAUUAGCCUAGACCAAAAAAAGACAAAAUUGAAUAGUUUGGUGAACAUUUUGUAACUUUCCAUAGUUGAGUGACCAAAAUAAAAAAUCAAAUAAUUAAGUGACCAUGUUGUAACUUUUGAUUGUUAGGUGAUCAAAAAAGAAAUUUACUAAUAGUUGAGUGACCACAAUUGUAGUUUAUGCAACUUUUAUUGAUACCAUAUAAGACUUAAUCUCUAACCUGUAUACAAAUAAACCCUUAAAAUUUAAGUUAUAUCUAAAUAAAACUCUUAAUAUAAAUCAUUAUUUCAUUUACAAUAAGAGCUAAUUCAAAUACAAAUAAAAGUAUAAUAACUUAUUUGGGUACAACAAAAAAUAUAGGGACUUAUUUAAUGAAUGUAAUCUAGUUCAAGGGCACUUUUGGUAGUUUAGCCUUUUCAAAUUUCAGGUUUUCACAGCUAUGAUAUUGAAGCAAAUACAACUAUUGGACUCCUCGCUUUACGCACACCAUCAUCCCACACUAAAGAACCAGAAACCAUAGAUAUGCAUCCAUUGUUCCUUCAAUUAUUACUUGAAAAGACAGCUUUUGUCCCACAGAUGUAAACGACAAAACAUUAGGGUUAACUCAGACUCUAGCUGUUCUUGUCGGAAAACUCACUCUUGCUCUAUACGUUGCCAUCGGAGAUCCCACAUUCGUAACAGUUCUAUUGAAAACACGACGAACAGUUGUUGAAGAAGAAGUGAAAACAGCAAAUGAAGGAUAGUUUAGAUCCGAAAGUACUGUUCCAUUUGUUGCUGCAGAACAUGUUGCAUUAUCCCUAUUAACUUGUCGAAGAAACCAAGUGUCAUAUCCUUGUCCGCAUAAAAAAAUUUAUGUAAUCAACUUCAUUGGAAUCGUAGAUUAAGCCUGGAUUUAUAGCUUUGAUUGGGUUCAAAUGGCCUGAUCCGUAUGCAAACUCAGCGUCCGAGUUCAUGCAUGAACUCAUAGGGGAAGCUGUAGUGAUAAGGGAAGAUUUGAUAGCAGAAGGAGACCAAGUGGGAUGAAACGACUGCGGCAGAAACAUGGGGACAAGCCAUUGAUGUGCCUGAGAUUAUGUUAAAUGGAACCCAUCUAUUAUCGCGCCUCUAUUUUGGGAAACUGGUGAAGCUAAAGACCAUGCAGCUACAAUAUCAACCCCUGGUGCUGACAAAUCUGGCUGUAAUUAUUACCCACAAAAAUUUAGAAAACUUAGGAUUAAGUUACGCCUAAGCUUGCUAUUAACAUAUUUUAUAAGUUCGGCUUAAAAUUUUGUUUAAAUUAACACAUAUUUAUAAAUAACUAAUUUAAAUCUAUUUUAGAUCUGCCUAUAUUAUUUUUAAAAAAUAAAAUAUAUAUUUAUAUUAUUUUUAAUUUAAUAUUUAAUAACUUUAUAUAUUUUUUAUUUAUUAAAAUUUUAUAUAUAGUUACCUAACAUUUUUUAAUUUUUAGAUUAUAGUAGUAUUAUAUAGUACUAUAGAUUUAAUUUUUAUAAAUGAUAUAAUAUAUAAAAAUAACGUAAUAUAAAAUAUUAGAAACAUACAAAUUGAGUCGGACUUGGGUUUUAAAUUUUCAAUCAUAGAGAUAACUAGAUUAUAUCUGAAAAAUCAAAAUUUUAAUAUAGCAUAUAAUUUUAAGAGUUUUAUUACCACAGAAAGCAAACAGAGACAUGAAGCAGCCAAUUACAUCGUACAAACAUGGAGUUAACAAAAUAGAAGGAUGUUCAUAUAAACGCAACGAUGGGACUCCUCACUUUGUGCUCACCAUCGUCCCACACUAAAGCACCAGACACCAUAGCUUUAUCCAUUGUCGCUUCCACUAUUACUUCAAAAGACAGCUUUUGUCCCACCGACGUGAACGACAGAACAUCGGGGUUAACCCUGAUUUUCAACGUACCUGUCGGAAAACUCAGGUUAGCUCUGUAAACCGCCGUCGGAGAUCCCACGUUUGUGACGGUCCUUUUGAAGAUACGGCUGAAUGGUUUCAAUGGCGAAGUGGAAAGACCAAAGGAAGGGUAGUUUAGUUCCGAAACUGUCCCAUUAGUGUCUUUAGGACAAGUGGAGUUGUCUUUGGAUAAUAAUUGUAUUAGCCGAGUGGCGUAUCCUUGUCCGCAUAAGAAGUUUAUGUAAUCGGUUUCAUUAGCAUCGUAUACUAGACCUGGAUUUGCAGCUUUUAAAGGAUUCAAAUGGCCUGAACCGUAUGCAAAUUCAGCUUCCAUGUUGAUGCCAGAGCUCAUGGGGGCGGCUGCAAUUAACAUUGCAAUUGGAAAUUUAAGUGAAAGUUGUACCUAAUCGAACUAUAAAACAUAUUUGUUAUGAGGUUUACAAUUAAUUACCUGUGGUCAUAAGGGCAGAUUGAAUAGCAGCAGGAGACCAUGUGGGAUGAAAUGAUUUAACGUAGGCAGCUGCACCAGAAACAUGAGGACAAGACAUUGAUGUUCCUGAGAUUAUGUUGAAUGUCACGAACCUGUUGUCGCCUGGAACUGAAGAAACAGGAGAAAUUGAAGACCACGCUGCUAGAAUGUGAACCCCUGGUGCUGAUAUAUCUGGCUGCAAACAACAAUUUAAUGAAAAAAAAAACCCAUCAAUCCAUCACAAGUUUCUGCAAAAUCAUAUGCAAUAAUAUAUUUGGAAAGAUUUAGAUAAAAAUAUUAAACCAAAGCUUUAGCAAAAUCACGCUCAGCCUCACCUAACCCUUUUUUUUCUAAAUCUAUAAUAUAUUGUUUUAUUUUCUUAUAUUAAAUUGUAAUUUAUAUCGCAUCAAAAAAAUAUUUUAAGUUAUCUAUUUUUAAAAUUUUAAUAAAAUAAAAAUAUUAGAAUACUAUAAUUUUAAAAAUUAUAUUGUUUAGAAUUGAGUAAGAAAAUAAAAAAAAUCAAAGAUUGAUCCAAAUCGAGGUGUUUAGAUGAUGGAAUACAAGUUAAAAUAUUAUGGUUAUCCGAACUGAGCCAAAUGCUACUUUUUUGUUUAAUUUAUAAUUAAUUUUAAUUUUUAUGAUUUAAAAAAUAAACAUUUUAUAUUUAAAAUAGUGAAAAUAACUUAAAAGUUCUAUAUAGAAAUAUUUUUUAAAAUUACCAUAUAAAAGAUAUAGUUUAUUUUUUAUUUACUUGAAAAAAUAAUUUUUCUAGAAAUAUUUAUAAACAAAAAAAAGUUGAAAUUUUAUCAAAUGAUAUUCAAAAGAUAUAAAAUAAAACUCAUUUUUUCAAAAUAAAUCUAAAAAUCUAAAAAAGGAUAAAUCGAGAAUCGAAUUGAAUUAUGAUAAACGAUUUUAAAAAAAACGACCAAACUAAACUAAACUCACCCCUAAUAUCGACAAACUUAAACAAAUUUCGAUUAAAUAUUUACUAAUACAAGUAGGCUUGAAUUAAAUCCGUCGACCCACGAAUACUUCUAUAUUUACCUUAAAAGAUGUUUAUGUUUUAUAUAUUGGACACAAUUAUUGAAAGGAAAAAAGUCAAACCAUUUAAUUUUCCAUCAAUUUACCUUAAUAAUCUCGGGUGUAAUCGGAUUCGGACCUCUCGACGAGAAAGAGAUGAUAUAAGGAGCCAAUGAGUCAUUAACCUCACUACUCCUGAAUAUAGUUGCUGUUGGAGCACUACAAAAACAUAUAGGCAAAGUCUUACAUGAUAUUCAUUUGUGUAUUCAUAUUAUAUUCGUAUUGAGUAAUCGUACCUGGUGGAGUUUACGUACUGAAAAAUGUUGCGACCGUCAACCAAGUUAAAACAAGAUGCAGGCAAAGGAAAAAGGUUAGAAUGGUCAAUCCCGUCCUGGUCUCGAGCCACGGUCCCAGCUGCACCAGCCAAAAGGGCUCCUAUCCCCUUACUGCGUUUCGUAUCACAGAGAACAAUCUUACCCUUCACCAAAUUUUUAUCCAAUGAAUUCGGAAAACAGAAUCUGCACUUCAACGAUUGGAUCAUUAAAAUAUUAAUAGUAUAAAGAGAUACGAAAAGAUAAAAUACUUUAGUUUUACACAUGUGGAACUAGAUCAAUUAAAAAAGAAAAAAAAAGGCUAAGUUUAUGUUACCUCGAUGAUGUAGUAGAUGUUGAAGUAGUGUUUGCUGCGUCUCCGCCAUAAAUCAUAGGGUACGUUUUAUUCUUGAGAUCAAAUGUAUUUAUUGAUACUCCCUACAUUACAACCAUACAUAUAUAUAUAAUAACUAUCAUUAUAAAUCAUAAAAUUGAUAUAUGAUUAUAAAUCAUGCAUGUAUUUAUAUUACCUCAUAAAUCUUGUUGUUGCCAAGUUGAACCUUGGUGGAAAACUUGCGAUCGAUGGUGCUAGCUGCCACAGAAAGCGACCACGGUGAGAAAUUAGAGAUCGUUGAACGUCCAGGGCCUUCGUUACCUGCCGAACUUACAGUCAGUAUACCGUUUUUCAUGGCGUGAAAAGAUGCGAUACUGAUCGCAUCUUCGAAAUAGUCUCUGGUCUGUCCUCCGCCGACUGAAAUUGAUAUAAUAUCGACUCCAUCAGAGAUCGCAUCAUCGAAUCCCGCGAGAAUGUCGGCAUCCUCACAACCAUCGGACCAACAUAUUUUGUACACCGCGAUGCGUGCUGAUGGAACCCCUCCUCGAGCUGUUCCUGAACCAAAGCCGUAGAGACUUGCACCGUCGACUAAACUCCCUGCUGCCGUGGAAGCAGUAUGAGUCCCAUGACCGUCGGCGUCUCUUGGAGAUUCAAAGUCAUCCGGUAAAAACAGUCCAUCGCUGCGGUAAUAUUUUGCACCUAUGAUCUUGCUGCAUUUGAACAUAUAGCAAUAUUAGUUAGACAUUUGAAGCACUAAGAUUUCUCCCAUAUCGAACAUAUACUUGUAUCCGAAACGCACCCCUAAACCCAGUAACAUAACCCAAAAAAAGAAACAAAAUUUACUUGUUGCAAGUGAAAUUGUCUUGUGGUUGAAAUUGGCAACUGCCUUUCCAUUUGGAAGGAGGUGGACCAAGUCCUUUGUCAUCAAAGCUUAGAGAUUCAGGCCAAAUUCCAGUGUCUAAAACUCCAAUGAUAACAUCACUUUCCAUGGUUGCUCUUUCAACUUGUUGAGGGAAUCCCAUAAAAUCCCAUGACCUUGUUGUAUGUAGUUUU
Molecule: long non-coding RNA, 44527 nt
Filed under: Gossypium barbadense (sea-island cotton)
Lineage: Eukaryota; Viridiplantae; Streptophyta; Magnoliopsida; Malvales; Malvaceae
Description: long non-coding RNA (GBAR_LNC017391)
Source: RNAcentral